Molecule: long non-coding RNA, 60065 nt
Filed under: Vitis vinifera (wine grape)
Lineage: Eukaryota; Viridiplantae; Streptophyta; Magnoliopsida; Vitales; Vitaceae
Description: long non-coding RNA (VVIN_LNC005659)
Source: RNAcentral
UUUUUUUUUUUUUUUUUUAAGGUAGCUUUAUGGGGUACUCUUUCUGACUUGUCCAUGUAAUGGGGGUCCAUCGAUGACUCCCAACCAAUUAAGGUUUAGGGCACCAAGUUUUAAGGAUCUUUCAACCACUAACUCCUCGGAUUUUUCCCCGGACUUUUAAGAAUGAAUUUCUAAUACCCAAGCAUCUACCAUAUGCUAACUCUACCUAUUCACCCUUGUAACGAGCAUUGAGGUCGGUGACUCCCAACCAAUUAAGGCUUAGGGCACCAGGCUUUAAAGAUUUUCACCAUAUACCCCUCAGACCUUGCUCGGGUUUCAAGGCAAGCAAACAAAUUUCUUUAUUUCAAAGGCUCAUUGGCCUUUUGCAGGGUGUUUCAAUUUUUAUCAAAUGAGGUCAAAUAUACCAAGUCCCAAAAAUAUACUAAGUCAAGAGGGAAAUAGCUUUUCAUCUUAUAAUCGGAAACUAAUGUGCACAGUGUGUGGAUAGCUUAAAGUGGAAGAACUCAAUUCAAUUACAGUAGAAGUUUCAACAAUUGAACUACUUUAGUAAGCAUAAUCCAUACUCUAAGUCAAGUGAAAAACAACAGUUCAAUUUCUCUUGGUUUAAUUUUGAAAAUUUUCCUCAAAAUUCAUGGAGAAUAGAGUAACAAGAGUAAAAAGUAAAAUCUACAACUAAUUAACCAAUAAUUGCAAUACCAAAAAGAUUUAGCAUACUUCCUUCCUCAUACCCCCCAACCGAACUGAGCAUUGUCCUCAAUGUGAUUUGAGUGACUGUAAUAAAAGGGAGGAAGUGGUACCUCCAUGCUGAUAUCAAAUUCGAAUAUUGAUUGGGGAAAACCACAUGUUUCAAAAAGAAUAGAAUAUGUGAGAAAAGGAAAUAAGGAGAAUUUAAUGCUAACUUUUAACAAGAAAUAUUCAACUUGUAUUACUUUGAGUUCAUUUGAUUACGAUGCUAAAGACAAGUAACACAAGGAAUCCCAUAUAUAGUACCAAAAUACUGGGAUUUCUUUUCAACUAAAACAAAACAAACAUGCAUAAAAACAUAAACAGCAAAUAUAUAUAUAAUGUCUGAUGAGUGGGGUGAUGGUGCUAGGCAGAAGGAUCUGCCUCUUCAGUAGGUGGAUCAGCUGGGGUUUCAGGCUCUGGAGCUUGAGACUCUGAAGGCUGAGAGUGUGGCUCUGGUGGAGUAGGAAUGGAGGGCUCUACAGCUUGUGGCAGAUCGAAAUGGACUUGAAGCUGCCUUAGGAUGGCAACUUGUUGAGCCUGAGAGGCUAACAUCUGCUCCUGGCAUGCUUUGAUGGCUGCCAACUCCUGAGCAAGAUUGCUCUGGGAAGCUGUAAGAGUCUCCAAUGCUCGGCACAGCUCUCGAUAUUCGGAUAUAGGGAUGGCCAUCCUAGGCUCAGCAGAUGUGGAUGGCUGUGAUGGAGCAGGUGCAGCUGGUGGAGCUCGAGGGAUGGCAGGAGUAGCAAGUGUUAUACCUUCAGGUGGAUGUCUUGGGGAGGCUCUCCUUGCUGCUGGCUGAGGCUGCCCAGGCUGAUCAAUUUUGUAGGCCGUCAUAUUAUUCCAUUUAUCAAGGGUAAAUGGCUCACGGCAUAUUCUCUUUCUUUCCUGCUGAGGCUCAGAGGGGUAUCCGAGAUGCUCCAAAACUUGGCAUAACAGCCUUGGGAAGAGGAGUGGAAUGCAAUCUGCUCUUUGAAGCUUCUUCUUGUGAACCUUCUCCUCAAAGUAGAGAAGGGCUGCCAUGAUCAGAUGAUGAGGCCCAAAGAAGAAUCCUUCAGACAUCUUGUACAGGGCUUCUAGGAGAAUUCCCCUUCUUUGGGUCCAAUGCUGCAGGGGAUAGAUAUUAUGCCUCAAAAAGGCAUCAAUCAAAAACAUCACUGGAGGUAGCUCCCCCCUCAGCAGGUGUGACCGAUUUGCAGCUCCUCUAGUUAGGGUGCUAACCAUCUCUAACUCAGUAGGAUUUGUCCAAGCUUUAAAAUUGUCGAAUUGAGUUGGCUCAAAAGGAAUUUGCAGGGCUUCAGCAAUAUGUCUUGCUCCCAAAAUACCAUGCCUUCCAUCAAUUAUGAAAUGGAUCAGAGUUGGAUUUCUUACUUCUUUGGUUGUCAUGGUCUGGUAGAAGUCCGUGACUACCCGAGGAUAGAAAAAAUCCCUUGGAGCUAGCAGAUGCUCCAUAUGAUAUCUCCUCAGCAGCUGGAAUGAUUGGGCAAGCUCUGGCCUCACUCUAAAUGCUGCUAAGUCGAAGCAAAGCUCAGAAUGGAAUGCCCGAGUUCGGCAAUCCAAGUUUCCUUCGAUUGGGGCCUGGGGCAGCAUUGGCCUUCGGAUCACUUCUUCCAGAGGUGCUUCAGCUGCAAUUUGGGGCUCUGGAAUUGGCGCUUGAGGCUCCUGAGCUUUUUCUUGGGGUGCCGGAGAUUGUACCGGCGAUGGAAUUGGAGUUGCUUCUGGUGAGGGAAUUGGCGAGGCUACCGGUGACGACACUGGAAUUUGUACCGGUGAAGGAUUUGGAGAUUUCUCAGGGGAUUGCUCAGUCAAAUCGAUUGGUUCAGAGCUCUCAACCCUGGCUUUCUUCUUCAAUGGCUGACCACCUGACCUGGUUAAAUAUCGCCUUGCCGGCGGCUUUGGUAGCGCCGGCUUCACUGGAGGAGGGUUUGGUCUCGACGGCGAAGGCUUUGGAGCAGGUUCUGGAACAGAACCUGGACUUGGCUCCUUUCGCAGACUCCUUUUGCGGUUCGAAGGGGAUGACGACUUUGCCCCUCGCGUUCGUGCCAUUUUGGAAUACCGAAACUUUGGCCGGCGCUGCUGAACGGAGAAGACGACCGGAGACACGGACGGCGCGGCUUGGCGAAGAAGAUGAAGGGGCUGCGAGAAUGGUGCUCUGAUUUUUGAAACCCUUUUCGCAGCACUUUUGGCCGGUAUAAAUAGGAAAAAACGGAAGCCCAGGGGUCAGUUUACGUUUCGCAACAAAACGCCAAUUUCGCAGCAACUUGCCAUUUUCGCAGCAACUUCGCAGUGAGUUUCGCAGUUGCGAAAUUGAUGUCACUGUGUUGCGGAGUGGCACUCGUGUGCCAAAACCACUUUCGCAAUUGUGAAAUGCCCUGCGGAAUGGGACUUUUGGUGCGAAAUCACGCUUUUCCAUUUCGCAAUGAGUUUCGCAGCUGCGAAAUGGGUACUACUGUACUGCGAAGUGGCACUCGUGUGCCAAAUUCACUUUCGCAGCUGCGAAAUACCUUCGCAGAGGCUUCUACAGUGCUGCGGAAUGGGUUGGCAACAAAACGCCAAUUUCGCAGAGGUUUCCUUCACCCUGCGAAAUUUCGCAGAGCUCUGUUUUUCCCCUGUUUUUGCUCUGUUUCGGCUCCAAUUUCGACCCGAUUUUUUUUCUUUUCAAUCCCCUUGAAAUUUCUUCCGCCUGGGAUCAUAUAAAACGAUUAAAACACACCUAAAAACAUGAUUUAAGAUCAAAAACUAAGAUUAAAAGCAUAGAAACAACUUGAAAAUUUACAAAAUUUACAAAAAUUUUGGACUGUGGUUAAACCACGUCCAGCAAACCCAUUUCACUUAGGCUUUUUGAGGCUCAAGGAGGUUGAUUGCCCCCUUUUCUGAUUUGAAUGACUCCAUGAACGGCUUAAGACGAUAUCCAUUGACUCUAAAGCUGUCCUUGCCAUUGGAAUUCAAUAAGUCCACCACUCCAUUGGAAUAUACUCGGUGAAUAACAAAUGGACCAAUCCACAUUGACUUAAGCUUCCCAGGAAAGAUAUGGAGUCUUGUGUCAUACAUCAGAACUUUUUGCCCUUCCUGAUUCAGUUUGCCCGGAUCCCAUUUGAAGCUUGCAUCCUUCACUUGAGACUUGGUUUGAGAUGAAGAUAUUACGACAGGACAUUGAUUAUUUUCUUCAAGGUAUGUGUAUUUCAGCUCCAUAGGUAAAUGCUUCAGAUUGAGUUUUGGAAUUUCUUUUUCAACAGCUGCCUCCUCUUCUUCAUUGAACAGAGGUAGAAUUCCUUCUAUCUUUCUCCAACUGUGUAGAGUAGCAAGCCCAAUAGGAGAUUCAGAAAAACCUUCCUCAAUAUCCUCAAGACUUUCAUUCAACUUAUCUUGCAUAUGUUGAUUGCAGUGCUCCUCCACCAAAGUAUCAAUAAUACAUAGCUCUUCUGGACCCUCUUCUUCUUCUGUAGUGAUUUGCUUUUUAGACAUAUAGAAAAUAUUUAGAUCCAGUGUCAUAUUACCAAAAGUGAGUUGCAUAAGCCCAUUUCUACAGUUGAUGAUUGCAUUUGAAGUAGCAAGAAAUGGCCUUCCAAGGAUGAUAGGAACUAAAUUAGCUUCCUUUACAGUAGGAUCAGUAUCAAGAACAACAAAAUCUACAGGAUAGUAGAAAUUAUCUACUUGAACCAAUACAUCCUCAAUUACUCCUCUUGGAAUUUUCACUGAUCUAUCUGCCAAAGAUAAAGUGAUUGAUGUUGGCUUCAACUCUCCAAGUCCCAGUUGCUUGUAGACAGAGUAUGGAAGCAAAUUCACACUUGCUCCCAAGUCUAGCAAGGCUUUCUCCACUACCUUUCCUCCAAUCAUGACUGAAAUGGUAGGACUUCCAGGGUCUUUGUACUUCAAAGGAGACUUACACUGUAAGAUUGCACUUACUUGCUCAGUCAAGAAGGCUUUCUUGUUUACAGUCAACCCUCUCUUGAUAGUACACAAGUCCUUUAGGAAUUUUGCAUACGUUGGAACUUGUUUGAUCAUAUCCAGCAGUGGAAUAUUAACUUUCACUUGUCUCAAUACUUCUAGGAUUUCAGCUGCAUUUCUAACCCCCUUUUUCCCCUGUAAUGCUUGAGGAAAAGGUGGAAAAGUUGAUUUCUUCAGCAUUUCUUCCUUCAGAAGCUCCUUCUCUGGAAUUACUUUCAUUGUUGCAUCAGAGUCCUUCUUUUCUUCACUGAUCUCACUGCCUUUAUCUUCCAUUUCCUUCCCUUUCUUUAUCUCUUCUUCUUUCUCAACAUGUGGCUUGGGUGUUGGCUGCUCAAUUUUCUUACCACUCCUUAGAGUGAUCAAAGCUUUCACAUCUUUCACCUGUGAUGAUUCUCCCUCAAGGCUUUCCACUUCAUGGACACCUUUGGGAUUUUGGUUAGGUUGAGAAGGAAAUCUUCCCUUUUCUUGCAGUGUAUUCAAAUUUGUAAGCCUUGAAAUUGAAUAUUGGAUGUUAUCAAACUUUUGAUUCAUAUCAUUUUGCAUUCCAUCCAUUCUUUUGUUCAACAUACUCUCCAUUCUGUCCAUUCUUUGAUCCACUCUGUCCAUUCUUUGAUCCACUCGAGCAUUGGUGGCUUCUUGCUUUCCCACAAAAUCUCCCACUACCUUGCUGAGAUUAGCUAUUAUUUGUUCAAUACUUGAAGAUUGCUGAGUUGGUGGAUCCGGCUGUUGGUAUUGAGUUGCUCUGGCCUUCCAUGAGAAAUUUGGAUGAUUCCUCCAACUUGAAUUGUAAGUAUUUCCAUAAGGAGCAUUGUUAUUGGGCCUGAAUUGUCCAACAACAUUUGCUUGAUCUCUAUACAUUUCCCUUUCAACUGAAAUUGCAGGGCAUUCCUCUACCAAAUGUUCAAACGAUUGACAAUUGGGACACAACUUCACUUGCACUGGUGCUUCAGCAACAGCUUGCACUUCAUGCAUUCUUUUCAGCUCCAGCUCCUCCAAUCUUCUUGUCAUAGCUGCCAACUUUGCUUUCAUGUCAUCAUCUUCUUUUAAAUUAUACAUCCCAGCCUUUGCAUUGUAAGCAUUCAACUGAGACUUCAUCNNNNNNNNNNNNNNNNNNNNNNNNNNNNNNNNNNNNNNNNNNNNNNNNNNNNNNNNNNNNNNNNNNNNNNNNNNNNNNNNNNNNNNNNNNNNNNNNNNNNCUCUGGAAUGUAUUACAAACAUCUUCAAAUUCCUUGAUGUGUGCAUACGGAUUCUCACUUUCCAUCCCAUGGAAAGUUGGUAGAAGUGGAACAAGAUAUGGUCUGAUCACUAGCUGCUCUGUAGGGGGCACUAUACAUGAUGGUGCACUCAUACGAGGUGGAUGCAUACGGUCCCUCAUUGAUCUGAAUUCAUUGAGAUUGUCUUGACGACCUUGGUGACUAUGCUGAUCUUCAGGUGCAGCCUCCAUGAUAUUCAAGAUUACUUCCAAUUCUCCUCUCUGAGGUGUAUCACACUUAACAAGCCUACCUCCAAUGUCUCGUAUCCACUUGGGCAUACACAACUAGUAUUCAGCUGCAACUAAAAAAAUGAAAACAGAGGACACAAAAACAGAGGACUACAAUAGCAAAAUUAAACUAGACUAAAAUUUAAAAAGAUAAACUUAGAUUAUAAAUAAACAAAGAAAGAAUGAAAAUUAAUAAAGUGAAAGAAACUUUACCAACUUGUGAUGAAAAUCACAAGUGCUCAAAAAUGGUAUCACAAUGAACUUGACACUCAUUCCCCGGCAACGGCGCCAUUUGACUCAUGCUCAAUUGGUGUCUCAGCUGAUUUGUGUUCAGCUGGUGCUCCUUGAUUGAGGAAGUGAUCAACAAAAUUUAUACCUAUAACACCAUACACUAGGGUAGCAAAUACAAAGCUACUAUAGUAUAGUGGCUCUAAGGAUCGUUCACUGGGAAUGAAUAAAUUAACAAGCAGUCAAGGAUACCAAUUCCAAGUGAAUUGGUUUUGUUUCAUUUCACGGUUAGUUUAAGAAAUAAAACACAAAGUUUGAUUGGUAAAGGUUUAGACUUAAACUACCUAACUUAACAGAAGUUUGGAAUAAUUUAGGAAGAAAAACAUUCCUUGGAGAUUUAGGUUCACUGGGGUGGUUCCUCAUGCAAAAGACAUAGCUCCGGUCAGAUGGUUCAUUUCCUCGCAUUAGAGAUUCAACUUAUAGUCAAUUCUCUAACCGGUGAUGUACAGAGACUCCUUCAAUUAGAUUUCACUUUAAUUCUCUCACUGAUACAACUUGCAAUGGUUCAUGCCUCUCACGAGCACUUACCAUUCAAGGUGAUCUUUAACCUUGGACUUCCCUUCACAAACUCGCAAGAGAUAACUAAUGGAUGUCUCCUAGGAGUCCAAAAGCUUACCAAGUGUUGGUAAUUCCAGAAAAUCCUACCUUGAAGUCACCUACCAGAGGCUCGCAAGGGGUAAACUAGUGCAUUUCCAUGGUUGGAAAUCACUUGCCUUACCAAGUGUUGGCCCAGGUGACUCUAAGGUGUUUUAAGUUAACUAAAAACAUUGAAAUCACUAAAGGAUUUCACUUCCUCUUCAUUAAAAACUAAAACCACAAAGCUUUGCAUUUUUGCACUUGGAACCUUCCCCGGCACCCUUAGCUCCAAGGAAUUGGAGGUUUAGUUACUCAUUCUCUGGGGAAAACUCCUCAGAGAAUUCAUAACUUAGAAAUAAAAUGAAAAUACAAAGUGAGAAGGUAAGGCAGUAGAAAGAAAAGACUUUACUUGCUUACCAAAUGGUUUUCAGAAGGAACUCCUCUCUGAGAACAUGCUCCCGAGAGGUAUUUAUAUCAAAGCAAUAUAAAACUAAUUAUUACAUAGAUAUUUGGUCUUUUUACUAACUUAAAAACUAAGGAAUCAUGUAAUUGGUGGUUUACAAGGAGUAUUUUGGAAUUUAGACAACAAAAAUCUAAUGGAAAAUAUCUCCCAAUGUCGGUAGCAAGCUUCGGGAGGCUUCCGGAGCCAUUUCGCAGGAGAAAAGUGAGGUCUGCGAAAUUUCGCAGACACCCAAGAGGGCUGCGAAAUUAUUUCGCAAGACCGAGCUAUCUUCACCAGGCUGCAAAGUUGGCUUCCAUCUUGAAGUUUCCAGCUCCCUUCUCGCGGCAUGGUUCGUGCAUCGUCAGAAGGAGAAACACCUUACUGUACAAAAGUGUUGCGAAAUUCUCGCAACAAAAGGCUGAUUCCGCAACACUUUAGAGUGACUGGCUUGUAAUGGCUGCAACUUCUUCGUUUCAACUCCGAAUCAUGCACCGUUUGAAGCAUUGGAUUGUUGACUUCCUGAGCUUUGAAAUGGUAUAUAGCUUGCAUCAUUUGGACUUCAGAAAGUGCUCCAAAAGUGGCUGCUACGACUGUCAUCAAGAAUAUGCUCCAUGACUGAUCCUCUUUGCUUUUUCUCCUUGCAAUCCGGAUUCACUCUUGGCAAUUGAAUUCUAAGCUUUGCCCAAGAUUCCUCAUAGCUCUCCUCAUUCUUGACUUGCUUUGGUGAUCAAAAUACUAACAAGAACACCAAAACUUACACAAAGUGAUCAAAAUUGCUUUAAAGGAUCCUUAACAUGUCAAUUGAGUUAAAAGGCCUAAACUACUACUCAAAAGUGUUAAAAAGGAUUAAUUAAAGGCUAUCAAAUAGCACUUUUUGAGUAGUAAUCAUAUGCCAAGCCCUCCCUUGGCCUGCACUCCUUAUAACAUGCCUCACCAACUUGUUGUAGCAUCUCUAGGCAACCUACUGCAUGUUGUCUAUGCAACCCAUGUGUGUGUCAAGCCCUCUCUUAAUUAGCCUACACCCCUUAGAACAUGUCUUACCAUCCUGAUGUAGUGUCCUUAAGCAACCUAGUGCAUGCUCUCUAUGCAGCCUUUGAGUGUGUCAAGCUCACUCGUGGCCUACACACCUCACAACAUGCCCUAUCAACUUACUAUGUGCAUUUCUAGGCCCUUGUUACUCCUUGAGCAUGCCAACCAGUCAUACUCAUGUGUUCCAAUCACAUCUCUGCCAAGGCAAGCUACUCAUGCAUCCCUCUUAUUGUUGAUAUGACUCCAUGUUUUGCCCAAACCCUCUUCUUAGUGCAACAACAAGUCAUAACAUUGCACCCAUGACUUUUCAUCUUUGCACAUAAGGCAUUGUGCCAAGCAUUAAAUGUCAUGUUUAAGUCAGCAUCAUUGAUGCCACAUCGCCAUGCCUCACCCAAGUUCAUUUUGGUGUUACAACAAACCAUGACAUUAUGUACAUGGCUCAUCAAGCUACCUCAUUGCGCAAGGCAUUACAUCCUUAUGCUACCAUUAGAAAUGAAGACUAUGUCGCACCUCGUGUCAUUGUGGCCAUGGGUUACACACCACCAUGUGUCAUGAAGCCCAUGCAUGGGUGCUACAAGACUUAUCCCAUGUGUCUUGCUCAUGUAAGCACCUAGGUGUGCCCAUGUCACCUUGUCUUUCUUGAGUUAGGUUCUUCUUCAAAGAAAAAAUACCGACAUGCCAAAAUUCAACCCUUGAAUUUUGGCCAAGUUAGGCUCAUGUCGCUUGUUUCCCUCAAUAGGCUUCAUCUUACCUUACCUUGAUCAUAGGCCACUCAUAGAGCCAAGGUGUCGUCCUAUGAGGCCUUUGUGUCGCAUACUUUGAGUCAAAGGGCUAACAAUAGACCACUAAAAGAUUUGAAAUUUUCAACAUAAACUUAAUGAGCUACCACACAUUGUAACUAUGCCUUGUGUUUCUUUUAAACUAACAUUUAGCAUAUCAUGGUCUUGAUACAAAAAUCCCUCGUCAUUAAGUUAAGAGUUGGUAACAAUGAGGUUCAACAAGGCCUAAUUGAUCUUGUUAGUUUAAUUGACCUGUUUUAGAAGUCAGCAUAAUGUCACAAAAUGCUUCAAAUGAUCCUCCCCAUGGGCUUAUAUAUCGGAGCAGGAAGUUUUUAAGACCCCUGGAGACAUCCACACUUAACUACAAGGUGGAAGAGUGUGGAAGCUUCUAGAGAAGGUUAGAGAUGUCCACACAUCUCCACACUUGGGUAGGAGACCAUUGGAAUAAUACGGGGUGUUCUAAAGUCUUCCAAAGUCAUCUUGUACAUAAAUUAAUGUAGGAGCUUCUAGAUUAUUCUUGAUUUGUAAGGAACUCAACAAGGUUCUAAAGACUUCCUAAGGUGCCUAUAAAUAGGUGAGACCCUCAUUUGGCCAAGGCACCAAGUAAACGAGUUUCCUAAGCACUUAUAAAGCAUCCUUAAGAGCAAUAAAAGCUUCCAUUUUUUUAAGUGUUUUCUACUAUACCUUCUAAAGCUUCCAAGUCGUGUAGAUCUUAACCUAACAAGUUAAGCGUCGGGAGUAAGAUUGACUUAAUAAGAUCAAGUGUCUUGGCUUGUCUUAGUAUCACACGAGCUUAGGGAAAUACUGGGUCCAUAACAAUAAUUACAUGUGAAUAUCAUAGAGGGAAAGGUAACAAUACCCAAUCUAUACCCAUUGGUAGGCUUCAAUGGGAUACCCUGCAAACCAUUAGGUGAAGUCACAUUUCUCGUAAAAUGAGGACCCGUUAUCUUGCACACACGAUUUUCGAUCAUGAAAACAUCAUAAUAGGAAGGUGUUAGAAAAAUUAGGCUAUUAAUCAAAUCUAUGGUAAUCGCCUUAAAGAGAGGGGGGGAGGGGGGUGAAUAAGAUGAUGGUCUCUUUUUGUAAAUUUAAAUUAUGUGAAUGCAAAAGAUAAUUAUAUGCAAAUAUAUAAUAAAACAAUAUAAAAAUAAUUGCAUAUAAAUUAAAAUAAUAGGGAAGAGAGAAUACAAACACAAGAUUUUUAUAGUGGUUUGGCGCAACUCGGCCUAUGUCCACUCUCCUCUAACUUCAAUCCCAAGCUUAAGGCUCCAAUAUUUCAAGGCUUCCAAACCAAACCUUCAAACAAUACAAUUGGAUUAUGGUUCUAGUCCACCAUCUUGGACUUUUGACUUCAAGCACCCUUUACAAUCCUCAAGAGAUACCCACUCUUGAACAACCUCUCAAAAGAUACCCCACACUUGAGAAUUCUAAAUUGAUACCUCACACUUAGAUUCUUCCUCUCAAAGAUAUACAAAUAAUUUCACAAAAUCCUACUACAAAACUUUAGGCUCAAAUGAUGUAAAAAAACUAGGAUUGAAUGAUGCACUAAAGAUAUGCAAGUUUUAGAACAAUUGUGCACUAAAAAACACUCUCCCAAGACUCAAAUAUAUUCAAGAAAGAUUUAGGAAGGUUAAGCUCAUGAAACAAUAAAGAUUGGAGUUUUUUUAUAGAAGAAAACAACCAAACUAGCCGUUGGGGGUUUGACCGAUCGAGUUGGGGGUUGACCGAUUGACUAGCCGUUAGCAUUUAAUGUUUGGCAGGUGACUGUUGGACCUCAACCGCCUCUUGACUGGACCUCAAUCGGUUGAGGCUCAACCUCAAUCGAUUCAGGUUCAACGUUGAUCGAUUGAGGUUUAACUUUGACCAAUUGAACAAUUGUUCUAGAAGAGAGAGAAGGUUUUUUGUACCUCUCGACCAAUUCAGCUGGGGGUCGACCUAUUCCUAGACCGGUUGAGUUAGGGGUCGACCUAUUCCUCGACUGGUUGAGUUAGAGGUCGACUUAUUCCUUGACCGGUUCAAUCGGUUGAGCCAUUUUUGGCUCAACAACCAUUCUCUUCAACUUAAAACCUUUUAAACAAGUUUGGAAAACAUUUGACACAAGGUUUUAGUUGAAAACAUGAAAUCAUCCAAUUUUAAAGGAUUUAAAACGAAAUAACUCUUGGAUGAUUUUGGUGCAUAAGUAAAGAAUGUAAUGCAUGAAAAAAACCUAAUGCACCAACAACCUUACAAAGAGAUCUUAUGAAGCUUGGGUCUUAAAAAGAACUUCUCUUUGAAGUCUUCUGACUGAACUUCUCUAUUGUACCAAAAUACUUAGUCUUUUUAUGUAGUAAUUUUGGUCAAGAAAAACUAGAAAAAGAGUCACUACGAAUUUUGUAGUAUUCCGGGUAUCGUUCUCAAUGACUGGCUUAUGGAAAUUGUCAACACUAGAAUAAUUGAAUUGCUUUCUUUUAAAUCUUAAAGUGAAAAACAAUAUGAGAAUAAUGUGAAACUAAGUAAAAGAAAUUAAAUUAAUAACAAAAUGGAUAUUGAUUUUAAAUUCGAUUGAUUUAAGUUUGGGGUUUUCCACAAUCCAACCUAGGGUAUAGAAAUUAGAGAAAACAAGGGUCUUUUAAGUAAUAUGAUCUUAGGGUUUUGGGAUCCUUAGCUGCUCGCGAUCAAAUUGAGUUCUAUAACUCAAAAUUGCAUUCGAAACCUAAUUUUUCAUUUUUAAAACAGAUUUCUACAACCAUCAAAUGAAUGAAAUUGAUUACCAAUUUAAGAUUUGACUUUUUAACCCUUCCUAGUCCUUAUAGUUUUGUUUUGGGGCAAAUAACGAUAGGGAAGAUGAGGAUAACUAAUGAUCAAGAAUUACCAAGAAUCACUAGUAUCAGGUAAUAACCUACCGUAUCAUUCCCUAAACGAACUCACAAGUAUAGGAUUAAAAAAAAUGAUAAAUUGUCACCCAACCAAUAAUUAAUCUCAUUGUUAUAAUAAUUAACCCAUUGUCCCUAUAAGUUUUCUACCCCUUAGGUUUUCAUACUUUAAGCCCGAAGUUGGUUCUUAGCCUCUCAUGGGGGUGAUGUCACAUUCACAAUCCAUAAUAGGGUAAAAAUCCAUAAUUGAAUCAAAAGAACUUAAACAAUAUUUUUAAUAAAGAAUAAAAAGAAAACAAACAAAAGUUUUCAUCUUCUUUCAUCUUCAAUGUCAAACUCUCCGGAAAAAAAAUUCAAGAUCCCUAAAACUUAGAAUUAAGAAAGUUUAUAUAAUAUCAUCAAUUACCUAACAUGUGACACACUCUCAUUGACCACUUAUUACAAAAUAAUUUCCUAAAAAUGAUUAAAAAAAUAAUAAAAUUGUGAUUUCUAGCCGUGUAGGGUCCACUUAGGGCAGAUGGAGUACCCUAUAUGCAAUUCCCGAGGUAGAGGAGGCGAAACAUCAAAGUGGUAGUGGGUGAAUUCGAAAUUGGUAUCAUUUCGAAGUGAAUUUCGAAUUUACAAGUUGGAUUUCGAAUUCAUAAGUUGGAUUUCGAAAUCAUUUCGAAAUGACCCUUCAGCUUGGUGCAGUUAUCUUCCAAUGGUCAUAACUUCUUCAUUUCAGCUCCAAUUUGCACAUCAUUUGAAGCGUUGAACUUUUGACUUCCCGAGAUUCAAAAUGAUAUAUAGUAUAUAUAAAAUAGACUCUGGUAAGUACUCUAAAUUUAUCCUCAAAUUCAAAGUGUAUAUUACUACCAGAUUUUUGAGUUCUAAAUUUCCAUGUUGCCAUGUUUUCUUGCUUUCUUUCUUACUUCAUAAUGGUCAUUUCUCAUCUUUUAAACUCAUGAUAUCCUCAUCUUGCCUUUCCUUAUGGUCCAUGAGUCUUGACUCACUUAUUUCCUCAUUUACCCCUUUCUUAAUCUUUCAAAAUCUAAAGUGAUUCAACUUGCACCAUUUUCUUCCCUUGAACCUGAGAUAAGUUUUCAAAGUACAAAUUAAACUCAUAGCUAGGGUCUUAGCAUUGAUUUAGGUCAAAUUAUGUGAUUUGAAUGUCCUUUGGUGCACAAAUCAUAUCGAAUAUGUGUCAUUAGAGCAUAUAUUUUGGCUCUAAUCAUCUUUUUUUUCUUAUUGAUUUCUCUUUGGCUUAAUUUUGUCUUUAUGAUUGCCACUUUGGAAAUCUUUUUGCCUAAUCACACUUGAAAUAUAAUAUUAGUUACAAACCUUGUUUUGUUAUCAUCAAAACUGAAAUUAACCAAACCUUGGUUUCACAGAAAGCUUCAUAGCAUGUAGACCACCUUGUCAACCUAUAAUCAAGCCAUUAAUUUCCCUACAUACACCGUAAAGGAUAUAGGAAAUAUACGACAACCAAGCCACAAUGCAUAUGUAUUGUCAUAUCACCACUAAUAAUUCUAAAGGCUCUAAGAGUUAAGAAACUUAGGAAGUUACCAGUUGUGGAACCCCUAGAGUCUUUAGCACUAAUGGGAGAAAGGUGCAAGAAAAGUAGUUAUGAUUUGUUCCCUCUUAUCGUGCCAUGAGAAAACACAAAUGUGGCACUUGCUCAAGGAGUUCAAUGAUGUGUCACUUGAGGCCCCUUAUGAUAUGCUAGGGAUAGAUUAUGAGUUGCCUGUCAUCACUUGAAUGUAUUACGACUAGAUGAUUAAUUAUGUAAAAACCACUAAAAUUCACAUGUGAGAGACAUCAAGUAGUUAACAAAUAAGUGUUAGGGCUCUUACAAGCUAGUUUUAUACACGAGGUAUUAUAUUCAAAGUGGUUGGUGAACAUGGUAGUAGUGCCCAAAAAGAAUGAAAAAUGGUGAGUAUGUGUGUACUACACUAACCUAAAGACUGCUUGCCAAAGGACAGUUGCCCUCUCUCAUGCAUAUAUCAAUAGUAGUGCACCAAUUAUUGACAUUCAUCAAUACUUAUUUGGGAUAUAAUCAGAUUUGGAUGGACACAAGUGAUAAAGAGAAAACUGCUUUCAUAACAACAAAAGACGCAUUUUGUUUUAAAGUUAUGUCAUUUGGCAUAAGGAAUGCAAAUGCCACCUAUUGGACGAUGGUUAAACAACUCUGUUGGCAAUAGUUAGGUUAGACUAUGAAAGUAUACAUAGACAAAUAAUCAAAAGCAAUAACAUUAGAGACCACUUCUAAUACCUGGUAAUGUCCUAUAUUUUACAAGAGUAGUAAAUGAAGCUCAACCCGGCUAAAUGCACCUUCAAGGUAGGGUCCAAAAUGUUUUGAGGGUAUAAAAGUAAAGCCGAACUAACCAAAUAAGAAUUGUCCUUGAGAUGUCGAUGCCCCACAUCAUAGGGGCGCCACAAGGCUCACUAGGAAGCUCGUGGCAUUAAGCAUAUUCAUAGUAAGGACAAUCGAUUAAUGGAAACCCUUUUUAAGGUAAGGAUAGGGGGCAUAUGAAAAAGCAUAUGAACAACCAAAGAAAUGCGUCAUCCAUCCAUCGAUUCUAGCUAAACCCAAGUGAGGUCGUAUUGCUAUACCUAGAGGAUUGCUCAAUUCUGAACAGUAGAAAAGGGAGGAAUGUGGAGGGGCUUUCCCGUUCAACAGCAACAUGUGGGCCUGUUCAACAGCACCAACUGGCCUGAGGAGACCAUUCGAACCCCCUCGCCAUCAUAAGCAAAUAAAUCAGAACUUGAUCACAGCAACCGACGGUCAGUUGCACUAAUUAUGAAUUUAAUGUGCAUUAAUUGCAUACAAUGUGGCACCGUAAUCUUGCCCUUUCCAUUGACCAUACCGUCAUGUGGGAAAUCCAACUGCUCUCAUGGUCAGUACGUAAUAACCUUCUACUGACUUGAACAUUGAAGCCCUCGCUGAACAGCAAGGGGAACGAUACUAACAAUUUUACAUAUGAUAUAUAAAAUAUAUGUGCAUAGUGUGGCAUUUGCAAUCAAUGCACUUUGAGAUGGCCCAACUUUAGUUUAUAGAAGCCACAUUAACUUUUACUUUAAUUUGGGACAUACCGUCCUAUAAUCAGUCAUUGAGGGAGAAAAAUUGUGACCAAGCAACAGGAUUACUCCUCCAGAAGCAUCCUCCAUCGUGAGUUUCCUAAACGUUAUAUAUCUCAAGCUGCAAUCCAAUAUUUGGAUGGCCUCAAAUAAAAGCAAAUCAAGGCAUGCAAAGAUUGGGACUUGCCCGAUUGGAUAUGGCCAUCAACCUUGUUUGAUUUAAUUAGCAAAUCAUUAGUUACUCAAACUAUAAAUUAGAUGGAGCCCUCAAUUUUGAGGUGUAUUUCAAUCAAGAAAUUUUAGAAUAUUAAUAGAGACAGAUCUUAGUGUUAGAGAGAAUUCUUGCCCAAUCACUAUGGGGUUUAAUGAGUUGAAUAAAUUAGGAUAUCUAUGAGUAGACAGCAUGUCCCCAGAAGCCUUAGUGCCCAAGUUAAAGACAAGAAACAACUAGGAAUAUACCUAAGAGAAGCUCACCUUUUAAAAGGGCCCUUUGUUCCAUUAAGGGGUAAAGAAUUAAUACUCUUAUAUACUAAUUCUCUCCACUAAACUCAUGAACAAGACCCCUGAAAUUUUGUUCUUUACUUUUACAAAAUCUUCUAAAUUACUUUGAAUUAUGUAGAUGAUUAAUUAUAUGCAAUAUUUUAAAACAACAUUAUUUUAAUAAUUCUUUUAGAAAGUAUAAUUAAGCCAUUACGUGUUUGUAGGGGCAUGUGGCUAGGAUUUGGCCACCUUUAUAUUGUUAAUAUUUUUGAGAGAAUAUGUUUGGGCUUUUCCUUAUAAAUUAAGAGUUUUUAGUAUGAAUUAGACACUAAAAUACAAGCCUUAUGAACUUUUAAUGCAAAGAGCAUCACAAAUGAUUCCUCGUCCUACAUAAAAUAGGUUGAAAAUAAGAACCAAUACUCAUCCCCUUAACAUACCCUAUAGAUUUUAAUUUGUUUCAUAAAUUUAAAAAAAUAUAGAUCUAAUUUUCAUCUUCUAAUUUAUGAAAGGUCAAAUAUACUUAAUUUCAUUGACAAAACAAUUUUAAGUCAAAUAUAUCUAUUUAUGUUAAUCAAUAAAUGAUAGAAAUGAAAUAUUCAUGAAUAUUUAAAAAAUGAUAUAUACAUAUAUAUAGACAGAUAGAUAGUUCAUUUCUAAUAUAAAUAUAUUUUGAUUUAACUUAUAGCGUUAGAAAAUCACCUACAGCAUUUUCUAAAGAGAUGGUUUUCAUUUUGAGUAGAAAUAUGUUUUUCUUAAUUAAUAAUUAAACCAUGAGUAAGAUUUAAGAGUUUGGAAGCGAGAAGACAUGGUAGCCAUUCUGAUAAAAAGAAAAGGGCCAAUUAGAGAAUUAAAAGGGGAGAGGUGUAAUGAAAGCAAUUAAAAUUCAAAGCGGCCAACUUUUUCUAGAGUCUUGCUUUGCUUUGUGUAAGAGAGGGUCGUUAGGAGGAAACUCAAUUGUGAGCAACAAGAAAAAAAUGCCAUAUUCUAAAGAAGCUCUUGCUAGGCUGUUCUACAAUGUCUCCAGUUCUUUACAGCUUCUCUUCCUCUUCUUCUUCUUCUCCUCCAUUUUGCUUGCAAAGCUCCUCCACUUCCUCUGCAACCACCCAAUAUUCCAAAGGUCUACACCAUCUCUCUCUUGGUCUUUCUCUUGAUUAAUUUGCCAUAUAGACACAUAAAGAUGAUACUGUGUUUUAACUUUUCUUUUGUUCUUUCGCAGGACCCAACAUGGAUCUGCAGUUGGAUUGUUUUUGGACGACGAAGAAGAGGAGGACAUAUAUUUUCAUGAGGAGGAGUGCAUGGAGAAAGAUGAUCACCUGGUGGCCGACAUAGUUGAUGGUGGAGAAUCACUUCUGUUUUUGCCUGUCAACCGUCCUGUGAAGGAUCAAGAUCUUGAGCAUCAUGAAGAAACCAUAAGCAGUAGUACUACUCCUCGUGGCGAUUACAACUACUUCUUCCACCAAGAAGAGUCAAGUGAUGAUCAUAACUCACUGGUUCAAGAAUCAGAAGUACAUGAUGACAAGGAAGAUGAGGCUGAAGAAGAGAUCCCAACAUCAGAUACUGAUGCUGAUGCGGUAUACAAUUUUGGCCCCAAUGAAGGUGACCCCACCUCGCCGAUAACCAUCAAUCUAACCAAAAGUGGCUUGGUGGCCGAUGACGAAACCCAUGACGGUAUUUGCAUUAUAUUUGGCAUCCUUAGCCUUAUACCAUUAGUUAUAGUGCUUUAAUUUUAGUACUGGCACUCCACCUGAAGUUGCUUAUUCCUUUGUAGAGAAACGCGACGAGGAAGAUUCCAAAGGUGGUAAGGAUAAAAUUGAAGAUGGGAAGGUGGAAGAGACUACAAAUUUCACUAAAGAUGAAAAGUUCUUAAUUUUUGCGCCCCCUCAAUCGGAGGCUAAGAAGUUUCAUGUCCAAGAAAAGGAUAAUGAAGAGACUUGUGGCGACUCGUAUACCGUUGGAUCUACUUCUAAGAGCUCGUCUGAAUGGAGAAGUUCCAUUAAUUUCAGGGAUUCAGGGACAGAAGAUCCAUUUUCGUCCUCUUCCCGGAGGAGUUGCCCCAAGUGGGAAUCUUACACUGUGUUUCAGAAGUAUGAUGAAGAGAUGACAUUCUUAGAUAGGAUCAGCGCCCAAAAGCUUCAGGAAACAGGUAAUUUUCACUUUACAUAUUUAUUUAUUUUACAUUAUGAUCGUACCAUUUUAUAAAACAACUUAGAAUCUAUUUGGUAGUGAUUUUAAGAAGCACUUUUAAAGUUUUUAAUACUUAAAAAUUUUCAUCAUUCAAAAUGUUAAAAAUGUUAUAAACGCUUUCUAAAAUUACUUCCAAAUCCACUCUUAAUUUACAUAGCUACAUACAGAGUCUCUUAGGUCAAUCCAAGUCUGUCCAAAGUCAAUCUCAGGGAGGAUUGCUCAUAAAUUGGGAACAAUCAACAAGAGAUCAUCAGAUACCCAUCAGAACCCGUAUCAUGAACUAGAAGCUGCUUAUGUAGCACAAAUUUGCUUAACAUGGGAAGCUCUUAAUUGGAACUACAAGAACUUUCAGCGCCUGAGAGCUUCGCGUCGUGAAUGUGACCCCGGCAGUCCUGCUCAUAUUGCCCAGCAGUUUCAGCAAUUCCAAGUGCUUUUACAGCGGUACAUUGAGAAUGAGCCCUAUGAGCAUGGCAAGAGACCUGAGAUUUAUGCUAGGAUGAGAAUUUUGGCACCAAAGCUGCUCCAAGUGCCAGAAUAUCGAGGUACUCAUAAGACAAAGUGCUUUUAGUUUCUCGAGAUAACUUCAAUUUUCUUUUUGUUAACAAUAUAUCUGUAUAUUAAUUGGUUUUUAAAGAUUCUGAAGAUGAUCAAAAGGAUGAAAGUCUGAAGUCAAGAAUUUCGUCAGAUUCAUUUCUUAUUAUAUUAGAAGAGGGAAUAAGAACAUUCAUGAAUUUUCUCAAGGGGGAUAGGGAGAAACCUUGCCAGAUCAUAGCAGCUUUGUUCAAGAGGAACCGAAAAGGUUUGGUUGAUCCAACUCUUCUACAUCUGAUGAAGAAAGCAAAUCAGAAGGUACAAAUUAAUGGUAUUUGCUUUUGAGCCAUUCAAAAUAUCUACAUUAUUUUCUAAACUUACAGUUCGGUGUUAAAAUUCAAUCUGCAGAAGAAGUUAAGGCUCAAAGAUCUCCGCAGAACUGGCAAGUGCUUAAGGAAAAGAAGGUUAAAGGAGGAGGAAGAAAUGGAGAUUCUGAUGGGACUGAUAGACAUAAAAGUGGUGUCUAGGGUUUUGAGAAUGAGUGACAUAACAGAAGAGCAAUUACACUGGUGUGAAGAAAAGAUGAGCAAAGUGAGAGUUUUGGAAGGGAAGCUGCAAAGAGAUUCCUCACCACUUUUCUUCCCUGCACACUGACCCCACCAUAGAUUGGGUAUUUGUUGCUUGAUGACUAGACCAUGAAUGUGCGGUGACUGCAUGCAGAUGAAUAUCCUAAGGCAGACACACCCUUUUGUAAAUACUGUAAAGAAAAAUGAGAGGAAGGGGACCCACAAAUCAAAGCCAUGACAUGUGGGUGACAUAGAUUUUGAAGAUAUGGAAUCCAUGAAAGAAAAGAUGGGUUGGCUCUCUGAUUUCAUGAACAUUGAAAGUGAAAAGAGCUGGGACAAAGCAAGGAACACGAAGAUAGAGACGAGGUAGCUUUAGUUUGCUUUAUCUUUUGAAUUAGGGUUUAUCUAUAAGGGUUUUGAGCUGAAUCAAAAGAGAGAGAUUUGGGCAAAGCUGCUGCUACACAUGCAGUGGAAUAAAAAGGUGGCACAUGGUACACUCAAAGGGUGGGAGCCCGAGCUUCAUUUGGUACCACUUUCUUUGGGGAAAAGAUGAAUAAAUAAAUAAUCAACCAUGUAAGGUGUAUUCAGACUUCAGAGAGUUGCGUCCCUCUCAUGAUUUCUAUAAAAAGUUAAUCUUGUAGUUGGGUUAUCAUGACCUUCAUUGACUUCCAUCAUCAUUAAUAAUCUUUGGAAGAUAGUCUAUGAUUUAUUUCAUGAGCACUCUCUGCAACAUUCCAUUUAUUUGAUUUAUAUAUAACUCAUACAAUAAAAAGAUCAAUGUUAUACUAAUAUGUACUCAAUAUUGACACCUUCUAUUAAAUAAGAUUACUAUUUCAUAUCUUAGGUAAUAUGUCUACAUUCAUACAUCAAACUUAUUUGGACUUUAGUCAUAACCAAAGUUAAUUAGCUCAAUGAACCAUUUUCAGCCAUUACCAAAUUAUUUCCUAUGGUCAUGUCUGGACGUUGGAAUGGAGAUUUUAGAAUGGAAAUAGGAAUCAAAAAUUCAUUAGUGUGGAAAUUAAAUUCCACUCUCAUUAAUUAGGAUUUUGAUUCUUUUUUUUCAUAUGGUGUAUGUAUUAAGAUUCACCUUAGAGAUGACAACGAGACCGUUUGAGACUCUCACCCCUAUCCCAACCUCAUUCUGUUUAUUUAUACAUAUUUCCAACUUCUCAAAAUAUAUAUAUACAUAUUUAAAUGACAGGAUUUAUAUAGAAAAUUCUCAUACCCAUUUUGCCUACCCCAUUUAAUUUUUUAAAAUUUUUUGUUUGUAAAAUUUAAAUUUUAUUAAAAAUAAAUAUAAAUUAUAAAUAAAGAAAUAUUAUAAACAAUUAUAAUUUAUUUUUAUGAAAGUAAUAUUUUAUUUAUGUUAAAAAGUUGCAAGAGAAAUCAACAAAAAUAAUUUUUUAUUUAAAAUUAUGUGUAAUCAGGAUGGAGCGAGACAAAAUCAUACCCAAACCAUCACGAGUUUUUAAAAAGUUUUCAAACUCAAUCUCAAUUGGUUUAUCUUUAUCUCAGACCCUUCCCAUUAGGGGCGGGGAAGUACCUAAAAAAGGGCCCAUUGCCAUCCCUAAUUCGCCUCCAUUCUCAUCCUAUUUCCAUUUAUAUUCACACAUAUUAAAAGCACACUAAAUUCUAUACCAUUUUUUUAUUAUUAGAAGGAUUUAUCAUAGGCUUUUCCAGGUAAUAGAAAUUGUGAGUCAGUUCAAAGGAAUGCAUCCCUUGAUUCCCAAGCUACUAAGUAAUAGGAUUCAGAAAUUCAUGUCAUUGGAUUUCACUAGGAAACUUCGACUAAUUUUCUGUUCUAUUAUUUAAAUGCUAAAGAGAUAAGUUUUGAGACAUGACUCGGGUGGCAAGACGUAGACUAGAAGUGAGGAAAUUUCAAAUAAGAUCUAAUAAAAAAAAAAGUCUCAUGGUUGGGCCUCUGCGUCAUCAAAAACAGAAAAUCCCACCUAAUUUCAACUACUAGACAUUUCAAAAUUAAUUUCAAUCAUUAAAUAAGUAAAAAAAAAAAAAAAAACUUAUCAUAGAUUAACAAAAAAGAAUUGUAUUCAUGUUCUGCAUUCCUCCUAUUAUAGCAGAGCCCAUAUCAAUUGGGCUUUGAUUUUGUUUUGGGCCUAAAAGGGAGCCCAGUUUUAAAUCAACCCAGUCAAAGGGAGACUUAUGUAUGAAAUUUGGAAAUUGGAUUAUGAAAUUACGUAACAUAAUUUUUAUGAAUUGGAUCAAUUGAAUGAAUGUGAGUAAAGGGAUCCAUGGAUGAAGAUAGAAAAGUAGAUUUCUACUCGUAACUAAAUCUUCAAUUUUAAGUUUAUUUGUAUUUUGUAAAGGGGCGAUUGAAGCAAACUAGCUAAUAAAGGAUGUCUUUAGUUUACUAGAGACAUCGAAAUAUUGUUUUACCUUUAUGGAAACAAUAUGUUUUUCCUCAAGAUUCUCUCAAAUUGAAAUAGAGAACAAAGCAACCAGAAAGAUUCUUAUAAUCAUCCUGUUCUAGAGGGAUCAUCUAGAAAACCAAUCGUUUCGAAUAUAUUCAAGCAGAAAAAAUGACAUAGAUGUUAUGAAUCGAUUUUUUUUUUUUUCAUUUCAUUGAUGUCUUAAAUCUGGAAAUUUAUCCAUCCUCCAUAAAGGAGCCGAAUGAAACCAAAGUUUUAUAGAUGGGUCUAUGCGGUUAACUGAGGAAGGAACCUUUGAGUGCACGUGACAGAGUUUGUUUGGUGAUGGGCAAAUUAUACAAUUGAUUACGACAUUUGACAUUUGGGGUUUCCCGAAAUGGAUGCUAUCCAAUUGCACAAAUUGGAUAAUACACGGCUGAUGGGCGUUGCCGUUCCGCUCCACUCUUUCUUCUCCAUUCAAAGCCUAUCCAUAUGAUAAUUCAAUACAGGAACCGACCAACAACCCAAGCAUCAUGUCGGUAUCUUUGCUUCCAAGCAAAAUAAUUAUCAUCAGACAUAGCUUUACUUAAAUUUUUUAACCAAAAAAAAAAAAAAAAUUAUUGUAUGGUAGUUAAAAAAGGUUAACUUCUUUGGAUGAGCCAACAUUUAUAUCAUCUCUCACCAACUUUAAGUGAGCCAAGAGGCCCUUUUCCCAUGUGAGCUAUUAAUGAAAGGAAAAUGCUAUGGUACCACAAUGGUACCUCUCAUAGUGAUACCUAAGAAAUUAGGAAUUCCUUGUAUAUGAUAAGAUCAAAUAAUGAAAGGACGGAUGAAUAAAACUUUUUAUAAAGAUAUAAACAAAAAAAACCAAAGAUGUUUAUUAAAAUCAAGCCUCCACCUCGGGCGAAACCAUCCAACCUGAUGACUCAGAUAAGAAGAAAUAAAACAUGUCCGACAAAAAGUUAAACAUCACAAACCUAGAAUAAAGAGAAAACCUAUAAAAAGUAAAAAUCAUCUUCUUAGUACCCUUAAAAACCAUAAUGUAAUUGAUGAAAUUUAAAAACAUAUAAAUGAUUUGACAUAAUUGAUGGUAGAUUUUCGAUAAAUACUAAAAAAAGCAUAUUUCGAUACUACAAGUAUAUUAAGACAUUAACGAAAUAAUCAUCUUUUCCUCUUAUUUGUGGAUACCCAUCUUUUCAUUUCUCUGAUCUUAGAUGGGCAACCAUUCAUUUGCUAAGGAUUAGGUCCCUUUCAAGAUGGGAAAGCUCUUAUUUCACUCCUGGAAAAACACAUACUGGGAAUUCAAAGCAGCUUAAUUAUAGAAGGAAAAACAGCCUGUAAAGCCAAGCACUAGCAUAUAGUUGUUUUCAGAGGAAGAAAAGAGAGAGAGAGAGAGAGAGAAACAUGAUGGGUAUGUUCAAUUGAAACUGAACAAACAGAGACAACAAGAAGAAAGCAGAGAAAAGCCAAAUGCAAAAGCCUUGGUUUUUCAUAGCUCAGUGACUGACUCUACAAGGACACUUUCAAGAAUGGCGUGCUGAUGCCCAUCUGGUCUUCUACCCAACCUUGUGGUGAUUGAUGUGGAAUCCACCCACCAUUUUUGUUAAUAGAUGUCAUAAUUGUUUCUUUUCUGUUGGGUUUUUCAUCUUAAUUUACAAUGGUAAAUUUUUUUUUUUUCCCUCUAUGUAUACCAUUUUUCACUUUUAGGACAUAGGAUUCUUUGACAAGUACUUCCACAAAGGUUUGAGGUAUGUGAUUACUUUAACUCAUUGUGAUAGAUCCCAGCAUAUCUCAGUUUUGAUUGGUGUUUCUCUACCUAAGAGACAACAGCAGACAAGUCUUUUCCAUAUGGAACAGAUGAAAAUUUUCUUUUUCUCCAAACAGGUACGGUCUUUCUAUGUAGUAUUUUUCAAAGUAAUUUUUUAUUUUUAAAAAUAAAUUUUAUCCUAUACUGUAAUUGUUUUUCAUACUAAAAAGUAAAAACAGGUCUAAUAACUUUUCAGUAGAAGAUAGUUUUCUGAAAUUUUGUUUUGAAAGUAAGAUAUUUUCUAAGAAUGUGUUUUAAUUACUUUCCAUCUUUUUCACUUUUUUUUUUUAAUGCGUAAGGGGUAUUUUUAAAAAUAAUUAUACAAAUAUUAAGAGUAAUUGAAAAUGAAAUAUUAUGAAUAAAAAUUCUUUAAAAAAAAUAUUUGAAAACUCAAAAAAUUAAAUUAACAACAUUUCAAGUUUUUAAAUAAAUUUUUGUUUUAUAAAAUGUGAAAAAACUAUUUUUUGAAAUUGUUUUUAUUACAUGUUGCAUUUAAAACAUUGUCAAACAUUGUCAAACAUUGUAUGAAGUUUUGUCUAUAAGACAUUUUUUUUAUUAAUUUUUGUAAAAAAUAUCAAGUAUUCAAACUUUCGAUAAAAAAAAACCAAUUACGAUUUAGGUAAUUUUACUAGAUUUAUUUACUAUGCUCAACUUUUUCAUUAUAAUCCCUUAAUCUUUUAAAUAUUACCUUUUUUUAUAAACCAUUUAAGGGUAUGCUUGAUUCAAUAUAUUUUUUUAUUUGAUUUUAUUAUAAAUAAAAAAAAUAUAAAUGAAAUUAGAAUAAUAUAUAAAAAUAAUUUACUGUCUUUAAAAAAAAAUUCUUUUUUUUUUUUCUGCCCAAAAACAUAAUUUAGUAAAAGUUUUAGAAAGGGUUGCAAAUUGAGAAGGGUCAUUCUGUAAAGUAACGAAAAGGGGUUGGAGUGGCAUGUGGAGGAAUCAGUACCCAAAAAUUUAAAAAUAAAAAGAUAAAAAAAUAAAAAAUAAAAGUAGUAGAUCCAUAUGCGGGGCAAGUGGCGUAGUUGCAUGGCCCAUUCCCAAUAUAUUUGUCUCUUUCGCUUUGGACUCGAAUCUACGCACGCUCUCCAUUCACCCCACGCUCCUUUCCGGUUUCCGCCUCUAUUAAAUAAGAUGCUCCUCUUGGAAUAUUUUUUUCCAUUUUCUUUUUUUCUUUUUUUAUUCCCCUUUAAAAAAAUGGUGUGAUGUCAGCAAGUGUAUCCACGUCAUUUAAUUUUUUAAAAAUUUUAGUUUAAGUAGAUUGGAAUAUUUCCUUCAUUUUUUUUUACCUUGAAAUAUCUUUUACAAAAAUAUUUUGAAGUUUUAAUAGAAAAAUUAUAUGUAAUUAAGAUAGUAUGAUUAAUUUUUUUAAAUAAAAAAUCAACAAAAAGACUAAGACACGUGUGGAUGACAUCUUGUGAAUAACAUUCAAGGAAAUAAAUGGAGAAAAAAGAGAAGAAAAUCGUUUUUUUUCUUUCCUUUUUAACUUUAUUUUAUACUGAAAUUAAUAAUAAAAGUUUUAAAUUGUUAAUAAAUUAUUUAUGGGAAAAAUGUAAAGUAAAUAAAUUAUUUAGAUAUGAUUUUUUUUUAUAAAGAUUAAAUAAUAUAAUAUAUAUAAUUUUUUAACUUGAUUAUAAUUAGAUUUAAUUUUUUUAUUGAAACACCAAAGAUAAGGAAGAAAUGGAAUUCAAAUAGAAUUAAAUGUAUUUAUAAAUUAAACAAAUAUUAAAAGAAUAAAAAUAAUAAUAUUUUUAUAUAAAUAUAAUGAUUCAAUUAAAAUAUACUAUUUUUUAAAAUUGAUUAAAAAUUAAAGUAUAAAAAAGUUUUUAUUAACUAAAUUUUGAAAUAAGAUAAGUCUUUUAAAAAAAAAAUUCAAAAACCCUUUUUCUUUUAUUUAGGGUAAAAUCUUAAAAAAAAUCAUAUUGAAUUUCAAUCAUUGAAAAUUAAUUAAUUUAAUGAUUGAAAAAAUGGAAAAAAUGUAAAAUAUUAAUUUAAGUUUGAUGGACCAAAUGGAGGGUGGCUACCACGUCCUAUGAACCUUCCUUUAGUAAAUGGAAUUUUUGGUCUCAUCCUUGUCUUUUACAAGGAUGACGUGGAGAAAACUGAUUGGUGGUGGAGCAAAAAGCCCAAAGUUGCGGACCUCACAUGAUGAUCCCCUCGUGUGGACCGAAUCGCUGCGUUGUAUCGCAGAAGGGACGAGGACAAGCCGAACACGAAUCUCCACGACCAAAAGGCAUAAAUCAACGGUGAUUAGAUCGCAUCAUAUAAUAUAUGCAUCAACACAGAAACAUUCCCCAAAUGCCUCUCUCUUUCUCUCUCUAGUUUCUCUGUCUAUGAAUAUUCAGCAAACUUAACUCUUUAUCUUCCUUUUCCAUCCUCUCCUCCGUCGCUCUCUCUGGUUGCUCCAUCCUCUGUUUGGAGGACCUUGACCCACCUCCGCAGGCCCAGCUCAGGUCACUUCUCUCUCUGGAUUCUUUUAUUUCAUGGGUUUGUUUAUGUGUUGGUUUGAUUGGAUCUGAAACCCCCCUCGUUUGAUCUGUGUGUAUCAGGUGGCGUUGCCCAGAUCUUUGAUUUGUGGAGGAUGAUGAAGGGUUGUGCCAUGGAGCAGAGCAGUACGUACGCGGCCUGUGAGGAGAUGAUCAUGAUGAUGGGUUCCGUCUCCGUCGUUUGCCCCAAGCCUCGUCGCCUUGGCCUCUUCAACAACGACCACAUCCCACCCCGGAGAUGGCACAUGCAGUAUGUUUUCCUUUUUUUUUCUUUUGCCGAGAAAUUCUUUGUUUUCUCCGGAGAAAAUACCCUUUUAGUGAUUGGAUUAAUUAAUUUUAGUUUUUCUUGUUUGCCGAACACCAGUCAUGAUGAUUCCAAGGAUGGGUCGGAGCUUCUUGACAUCAUUCUCGCCAAGGUAUUGUUCUGUUCCACUUCUCUUUUGUGGGUUCCGUUCAACGAUGAUGUCUCUAUUCUCACUACGAUUCUUCUUCUCAUUACAGGGAUCCGAAAGAUCGGGCCACCAGGUGGCUUCAUCUCCACCAUAUUUUUGUGGGUCACCGCCGAGCAGAGCUUCGAAUCCCGUAAUCCAAGACGCCCAAUUCGGGAACGAAAAGGUCACACCCUUCUCUCGGGCGCCGUCACCAGCCCGCAAACCCGCUGGAGGAGGAGGGGGAGGAGGAGGAGGUGGGGCCGGUGGUGUGAGAAUGAUGAAAUUCGGAUCCAAGCCGGCGGCGGUGAGGAUUGAAGGGUUCGACUGCCUGGGCAGAGAUGGGCAAAGCCGCAGCAUAUCAGCCGUGGCAUAGGCCCCCCUGAAACCAAAGUUUUGGAAAAUGCAGAGGAACUAAUGGUAGAAAUUAUGUGUAUGUAUAUACAGUUGAAUUGAAUUGGUUUUGAAGACAUAUAUAUAUAAUAUAAAUAUUUAUAUAUAUAUUUGUGGAAUAUUGAGUUGAUGAAAGAGAGAGAGGAGUGUUAAUUUUGAAGAAUAAGGAGAUAGGGAGGAAAGGGAGAGACUAAGAGGUCUUUCCCUUACUAGGGUUUUGAUUGGAGUCUGGUGGAGAGAGAAAGAGCCUGCCCUCUGUCUCUUUCUCUGUCUUUGUUGUGUGUGUCUGUAAUUUUACUCACUCUGGUCCUUCAUUGUAAUUGUAAUUUGAGGUGAAGGGGGAAGGAGAAUGGAGAUGAAGCUGGGUCUUCUUGUAAUUUUGCUACUUUAUUCCGGGGUCUUUUGGACCUUAAAUAAUUCUGUAAAGAAGCACGUGCUGUGCCUAUUGUAAAUAUUUUAUAUAUUUAUUUUAUUUUGGUGGGUGUUAGGUUAUUAUGAAUUUGACUUUUAUUUUCAAAUAACAAAUUUGAUUUCGUGUCUUUGAAAAGUGGAGCAAAUAUGACAUCAUGGCAGAUUUGGGAAAUUAAAGAAAUUGAAUGAUAAAAAUAAUAUUAUUUGCAUGCCUCAGGGCAAAGCCGCCUCCUGUGGAGGUUAGACUUGGGACAGGGAGUGGAAGACAAAAUAAUUGGAAGGAUGAUGAAUUGUCCACUGUAGUGUCUACAGUAUACAGGUGGCCUUGAGUUGGACUUAAGCUUUAAAGAUGACAGCUGCUGAUCUCACCAACUCCCUACUUUUCGCGCUUGAAUUCUCUCUCAUUCUUCAUUGCUUCCUUCCUACCUCUCAUCCUCUGCCCCUGCUUUCUGCUUAGUUCUUUUCUUUAAAUUCAAGUCACCGCGGUUCGCUCUCUCUCUCUCUCUCUCUAUUUUCGCCUUUUCCCUAGAGCGUUUGGCUACGGCAAAAAAGACGUAUCCAUUGCAAUGAACGGCAUGGGCUCAGUCGUCUGGUGGGCAUGACUUUUCAAGAUUUUUAGUCAUAUCCACCAGCAGGCUGAACCCAUGUCGUGCUGCCCAUAGUGGGCUAGUUUGUAGGUGUUAAUGGGCUAGCCGCUAGCCUUGUUCUUAAACAGUAUAAAGACUUUGGGCUCAAGAAAAUCCGAUAGUGAAGGACAAAUUUGCAAACUUGUUCAUUGUAUGACAUGACAUCAUAGAUUUUCUCAGUUCUUGAAAUGACAACCAGACAGAUUAGAGUAAUUAACUGCAAAAAAUAAUUUUCUUAGCUCGUGAUCGGAUACAGUUCCUAUUUGUUAUUUUUAAAAAUAUAAAAUAGUUAUGUUUUUAAAAAAACACUUUUAACCUAAGUAGUGUUUUUAAAAAAUUACCAAUUGUUUGAGAAAAUUUAGAAAACAUUUUUAAAAUUUUAAAAAAUUACUUAUAAGGUUAAAAAUUACUUAUAAUGACUUUUUAAGAAACAUUUAAUAAAUUUUUUUUGUAAAAAUACUUCUAAAAAAGCACUUUCAUUAAAAAGUAAAAACAUUUCAAAUUGAGACAUUAUUAAAGGCAUUGUAAGAGUCUUUUUAAGAAAACACUUUUAGCUUAAAUAGUAUUUUUGAAAAAAAAAUUGUUUAGUCAAAUUUAAAAAAUAUUUUUAAAAUUUUGAAAAAUUAGUUAUAAUAUUAAAAAAUUAUUUAUAAUAUUUUUUUAAAAAAUACUUAAUAAAUAAUUUUCUUAAAAAUAUACUAAAAGAAUACACAUUUACUAAGAAUGUAUUUGACCGUGAUUUUAGAAAGUGUUAAUAAUCCUUUUAAUGUUUGAAAAAUAAAAAAAUUUAAAUAUUAAAAAAACUAAAAACAAUUCAUAAAAUCACUAUCAAAACGCACUCUAAAACCUUUUGAACAAAAUAAAGUACUUAAAAUUAAGCUUUUCAAGGUGUAGCCAACAAAGCACUUGUUCUAUCUUCUCAACACUUUUAUAAGGUCACGCCAUAUUAUGGUAUCAUUACUUUGUAUUAAACUUUCAUUUCAUCAUUUUGCAUUUUGAUCAAAUUCUUUUAUGUUUGAUCCUAUUUAGUUACGGGUAAACUAAAAAGCCUUACAAAUUGAAAGUUUUGAAUUUCCACUAACAAAUAACAAUCAAUCUCUUUUUUUUAGGCUAUGUUUAAUUAUCAUAAAAUUUGAGCGCAAAUGUGAGACAAAGAAAAUAGAGAGGAAAAAUUGAACGAAAUAAAAAGUGAAGAAAAAAAAAAUAGAUUUAAAGUUAAAAAUUAUUUUUAUAUAUUGCUUUAAAUUUAUUUCAUUUAUUUUCCUUUAUUAUAUAAAUAUUAAAUAAAUUUAAAAUGCAUGAAUUUUAACUAAUUUUAAUUCUAAUUAAUUUUCUUUCACCAUUUUCUAUAAUGAUGAGAAAAUAAUUUUUGUUAGCAUUUUUUCUUUCCUUAAUACUUUCUUGAAACCAAACAUAACCUUAAGGCUAUAUCAAAGUUAAGUCCAUAAAUUUUUUUAUAAUUAUAAAAGAAUAAUGAUAUCUUUAAACAUACUUGAUUACUUUAUUGGAUUCAUUUUCUACCCUCCAUGAUAUAUAGAAAUUUCUAUUAAAAACUUUCAAAAUUUUUUAUACAAAAGAAGCAAAUGUGUAUGUCUAUUGGGAAGUGAGACCGAAAAGGGUCUAUUUAUUGUUGAUGAGCCCUUUGCUUAUAAGUGUAGUAGUUUACAGAGUGUUUGGUAAUGAUUUUGGGAAGUAUUUGUGGGAUCUUUAAUAUUUAAAAAAUAAAAAAUUUAAAGUGUUAAGAAGACUAAAAAUACUUCCUAAAAUCACUAUCAAACACACUUUAAUCUCCUAAAUGUUGCUUUUUAAUUGUUAAAUCCUCUUUUUGAUUGUUGAAAAGCAUGCAAACCAUGAAACAAGGAUUUGGGGUUAGAAAUUUGUUUUUGAAAAUAAUUUUUUGAGAAUUAAGAACAUAAAAUAAUUUUUUAAUUCAAAAAACAUGUUUAUUAAUUUUUAAAAAAAAAUUAUUAUGAAAACAAAUUAUUCUUUAGAAUAAAGUAGCUGGUUUUUUCUUCUGUUUUUUUUGUCAUAUUUGAAUUUUCUUACAAAAAUUUAUUUUAAAAAAUAUAUAUUUUUUGAGAAUUAUUAUUUUUUAAAUGUUUCUACACAAUUUGUAGGAAGUGAAUUUUACCAAUUUUCAUUAUAUUUUGGGAUUGAAGCAUAUGAGGUUGGAUGGAAUAUGACCUAGAACAGCCAGUUAGCUAAGCUUUUAUGAUUGAUUCGACAUCCAUUCUUUGAUUCUAUCCUAGUCUCUCAAAGCAAAUUUUGGUCAUUAUAAGGCUGGAUUGUAUGUGGUUGAGCUUUUUCUAUAGGCUUUCCAUACUUAUCCACUACCACAUUCUAAAGGGAGCAGUUGUGUUUGAUUGGGAUGCAAUCCAUUCAUUAUUACAAGAGACUUGUUAUUGGGAUUUAUAACUUAUACCCACACUUUCAUCAUUGAUAUAGUAAUAAUAUGGUGAGUGAUGUUGGUGAUAGGAAGAUCCAAGUGAUUAAGAGCCCGUUCAGUGAUUUUAAAAAAUGUUUUCAAAUUUUUUAACUUUUUAAAAUUUGUAUUGUUUAAAUGUUAAAAAGGUAAAAAAUAUUUUCUAAAAUUACUACCAAACACACUUUAAAAGCCUAUUUGAAAGUGAUUUUAGGAAAUAUUUUUAAAGCACAUUUUGACGGUAAUUCUAAAAAGUGUUUCUACUAUUUUUAAUACUUACAAAUUUUUAUUUUUCAAGUAUUAUAAAGAUUAGAAACACUUCCAAAAAUCAUUAACAAACUUACUCUUAAUUUUUUUAACACUUUAAAUUUUUUAUUAUUUAAGUAUUAGAAAUAUUAAAAACGUUUCCUAAAAUCACUCUCAAACGCACUCUAAAAAAUAAUUAUAUUUAUAAAUCAAAAUGCAAUUUAUUUCAUACGGAAUCAAAUAUUCCACGAGAAUACAUACCACAUUGGCAUUAAGAACCCGUUGUACAAUCUGUUAUUUUAAAAACAAUUUUUUAUGAUUUAAAAAAAAAAAAGGUUCAACAAUCAAAAAAUACAAAAUAAUUUUUUUCUUCUUAAAAAUAAAUAACAUGGUAUUUUUAGAAAACAUUUUUUUAAUUAUUUUAAUUUGUUUUCUAAAAAUAAUUUUUAAAAGUAAUUAUAUAAAUAUAAAAAAUGAUUAAAAAUAAAAUACUACAUGUUAAAAACAUUACAACUUUCCAAACAAAUUUUUAUUAUAUAAAACAUUAAAGAAUAUUGUUUAGUGUUUAAAAAGUCCUUGAAAACUAUUUUUCAAAAUUAUUAUCGAAAACACUUUUCAAAUAUAAUUUUAAUUUUAUUUUAUAAGGGAUGUGAUUAAACAAGGAAUUAAAAAAGACUUCAAAAUUCAACAAAUAUGAUCAUAAAAAAACCUAUGCCUAAAUCCGAGUUUGAUUUGUGCUUGAACUUGGUGAAUAUCAAAGACCUUGAAUAACCCUUUGAGGGCAUCUACGGUGAUCAAAGAAAGAUUAGAUUCUAUUUGAAAAUUGUUUUAGAAAAUCGUUUGGAAAAAUAGUGUUUUAUAACUGUUUUUAAAAAUUAUUUUUUGAUAUUUUGUAAAAUAAAUAUCUAUUUAAAAAUUAAUUUGAAAUAUUUUUAUAUUAUUUUAUAUGUUUUAAAAAUAAUUUUUAUAUACAAUAUUUUAUUUUUAAUCAUUCCUGAAUAAUUAUUUUUUAAAACUAGUUUUAAAAAACAAACGAAAACCAGAAAAUAAUUGUUACCACAGCUAGGCAAUUGCGAAGAAUUACAGCACCAAACCAGGAAAGGAAGCCGGUCCCUGACGUUAUGUUGAGGGUAGCUGUGCGGCUUGUGUCUCACCAAACUUUUGCCUUUGACCUUCAGGCACUUGCCAACGCUCUUGUGAUUGCCAUGGACCCGAGCAAGUUGUGCUGGCUGAUGGGUUCCUUUCUAUGCUCCUUUUCUUGGCUUUGGCAUUGUAAAUAUUGGUCAUGUGACAAGAAACUUCCCUGAUAUUUUAAUGCUAUCUGAACUUAUCCAACACUCAACCAUAUAGCAUUUGCUUGAAGCCUUUCACAAUUUCGUGUGAAAAAAAAAAAGUUUAUUUAUAAAAUUUAAGGAAGGAAAAUAAGUUAAAUCAGUAAUCAUUCUUACCUUGAGGUUUUGACUAAAUAUAUCUGAUACUUAUUGAUUUGAAAUUUCGUUAAACACGUGUUUUUUUCGUUAUUUUUAUUUAUUAUUUUCAUAACUCUUAUUAAAAUAUAGGAUAUUUGAUGAAAUUUUAAAUUAAUACAAAUCAUGCAUAUUUAACGAGAACUUGAAAAGAGGCGAGUGAAAUUAACCCUUUAUAUAAUAUAUGUUGUCGGAAAAAAAAAAUCAUAGAAUGAAUUCAUUGACAUCAUGGGAAUUCAUUGUUAAAUUGGAAGAAAUAUCUUGAAAUUGGGUUUUCAUUGAAAUGGAGGAAAGAGUAUCAUUAGCCUCUUUGACAAAGGCUAGCUAAUUGGGUUUUCAUUGUAUGUCAAAGUUAUGUACAACCUACUACUACAAAAAAGAAACCCAUCAUCAAAGAAAUAAAUUAAAACAGGAUUGAAUAUAGAGGUGCGAAAUUGAUCAAUAUUAUUUAAUGGUCCCACAUGAAAAUAGCCUUUCCAGCAAGUCCAUUCAAUUUUCACAAGACAUCCAACCAUAUCCUCAAGGAUGACCUCCCACCACACAAUCCUUGUACCACCUUAUCUCAUAUAUAGAUAGGAAUGAUCAACACUUACAGAAGUAUAUAUUAAGCAAGCAUGAACAGUAAGUAAAUAUAAAGCUGAAAGCAAAGAGCAUAGGUAUUAUUAAAAGUGGUGGCGUUUACAUGGCCACCAACGAUUAAAACAUCCGACGAUGAUGAUACACCAUAUCCUCAUACAAUAUUCCAUUGCAUUACUCCAUCGGAGACUUCGAAUAAGCAAAGAAAAAACAAAAAACAGACACAAAAAAUAAAAUUCCACAAGGGUCCUAAACAUGAGAGUGAAAAAACAUGGACAUCAAAUAUUGCGGAAACAGGAUCAGCUGGGCUUGUAGGCAAUGAAAGCGAUGCAUUGCACUUGGCGGUUAUUGUCGAAUCCGAUGAUUCGGAUGUGGGCGUCAGGGUACGCGGUCCUGGCUUCUUGCACCUCCUUAAUCACCUGGGCUGAGUCAGUGCACCCGAACAUGGGCAGCUUCCACAUGGUCCAGUACCUUCCGUCGUAGUAUCCUGGCGAUCUGUUGUGCUCUCUGUGGGGGUAUGGGUACUGCAUUCACAUACAAAAUAAUAAUCCAAUUAUUCUACAAAUUAAACCUCUAUAAUCCUAGUUUAAAAGCUUCACAGAAAAGUUCAUGAAAAUAACCAGCUUGGUGAAUUCCAAGCAAGGAAUCCAUUUCAUGCGGAGAAGGUAAUCCACUUCCUUGCAUAGCUGUUCGUCGUUGAGGGGUGGGAGGUAUGAGAGAGUCUCGAACUUCAUCAACCCUUCUGUAGGCCAAACCUGUGGUUUUCACAUGUACAAUAUCCACAGUUUAAUUCAUCAUAUAUAAAAAAAUAAAAAAUAAAAAAAACCCAGACUACUAAUGUCUUCUAAUUGAAGUGAAGUUGUGACUUGUGAGGCAGGGUGGUGGCAGUACCUUCAUGCAGCGAACUCGGCCACCAUUGCUAGCGACGGAGGUGAUGUCGGUGUUGGCUUUUCGGGUGCCAGGGAAAGUCGACAAAGAUUUGAGUCCGGUGAAGGGGGCCACCAUGUUGGCCUGAGCCGGGGUAGCACGGUUGAUUGUAGCCACGGUGGCGGAGGAGACCAUGGAGGAAGCCAUUUUCGCCUUUUGGGUUUUGCUAACACCACCACUGCCUUGUGAGUUAUGGCUCCUGCUUACCCCAUCCUAUAUAUAAUCCUCCGAGCUUUACUCUCUUCUCUAACUGGCCUCACAUUUGCAUCCAAGGGCUGAGGGUCGAGGGGUCUGGGGUUGGAGGCCUUUGGGCCGUUGGAUGAUACCAGGGGAUGACAUGAAAAUUUCGAUGGCCACAUAUCAGAAUUGGAUGGGUGCCUUAUCGUUAUGGCACCCCUCUCGGAGUGUCGACACGUGUCGACACCUCAUUAACCUUAUCUAACGUUGUGAAGAAGGUGAUUGUGUGAUGUUUUCUGGCCCUUCGUUUCUGGGGUGACUGCCGCUCUUCGCCCAUGGAUAUUUGGAGUUUUGUUCAAUUACCUAAUUGCCCAUCUGGGAUUUUUUUUCAAAUAUUAUUUUUUUAUUAUUAUUAUCAUGUUUUUUUUAAGUGAUGCGAUGAGGUAUGGAGGUACCAUGAUAAGUAAUGGUGUGACUGCAAGCCAUCAGAUCAGAGGGUCCCCCACUUGGAAUAUUGCUCCAAUUCUACGACUAGGUGACUAACACUCAGCAGCCCUUUAAGCGGAGGAAGAAAUGUGACAGUUUCUAUAAGUGGAGGAAGUCUGAAUUCUGAAAGGCAUCGAUAAGGCCUUAAAACGUAUCUAUUGAAGGCAUAAAUCACUAUGUUCUCUUUUGGCUUACCCCAAAAAAAAACACACAUUCCCUGAUUCAUGUAUUCUUACUUCUCAAAGUCCUCAUUUUGGACUAUUUUACAGGCUUUCUUCCUAGAAUUUCAAAUUCAAAUUCAAAUUCAAAUUCAAGAUCAUAAAGAAGCCUCCACCACUCAAGGUUUAUCUUCUCUCCUAAAGGGAGAUGAUAUUUUGCCAUACAAAGGUUUCAGGACCUCCAAAAGAAAACGGUACUAAUUUUGUGUAAUUUCAGUAUGCUUAUGAGUUACGACUCAACUCAAGUCCCGGUUGGUGAGCAUCACUUCUAAAAAUGUAGUGUUGGGUCAAUUUGUUAGGUGGACCAUCACUUCUCCACAGAAACUUCUAGCUCUUCUCUGCACUUGUGGCCUCUAUUCUUUCAUAUAAGAUGUAAAUAUUCUCACUAAAUAAACCCAAAAGAAAAAAGAGAGAAAAAAGAUUGGUGGAGGUUGUUUUGGAGGAGGGAUCCCUGUGAUCCACAUGUAACAAUCAAGGUUUCCAUUCAAGUUGAUGGAUAGGCCUGUGUGCUAUAACAAAAUCUUGUGCAACUCCACCACAAAUUCUCCAAAUCAAAUCCCACUGUCAAGCCAAGCAACAUGCUCCAGAAAGCGAAUUCUGAAACCUUUUCUAGAUCAGUGACAACAGAUGUGUUUGUGUUUCUUGUUUCAAUGGAGAAGCCAAAGCCUCUUUAAGACGUAUUAGUGCUGUGACAGGAAAAAUAAACUCAUGUUUUGAUCUUGUAGAAGAGAUUGAAAAUGCAUGAUGUAUUGUUUAUAAUGCUGGUGUAAAUAAUGAAACUGUUAGAAAGGGAUUGUAGGGAAAUUGCUUGUGUUGAAGAUGAUCCUUUGAAAUCAUAGUUUCUGCCUUACCUUCAGCUUCAGGCUAAACCCACAGGCAAAAAUGGCAAGAGGAACCUUCUAACACUCAUUUUCUCCCAUCUGCAUUGGGAGGGUAAUACCAAAAACUAAUUUAUGCGGAUUAAGACUGAUUGCGAGAGGAAUAUGACAUUCAACAGGGAAUACAAAAAUCAUAAACUGAAAAGUUUGUUUAUUAAAUCCAAUUAAAUAUGACAUUGCCCACCACGAAAAGCAGUGGAAUACGAAGAAUGACUUCCAAUAGAGGAGCUUCUGUACAGUUAUAAGCAGGAAAAAAAGAAAGAAAAGAGAAAAGAAUUACAUGGAAGUAGUGAAGUACAAACUGCAUAACCAGGAAAAAAUAUGCAACUGACUUCCUUCUAAUUUACUGCCAUCGCCUAGGAGGCUUGGUGAAAGUAGAGCUUCCAGUGCCACUGAUAGUAGCACUUCUUCUCAUUCCUGAGAAGAGCAGUUACAGGGAAAGAUAAGAGAUUGAAGGAAUAUUAUUAGCAAGUAGCAAUUGAUCCCAAAAACUCUAAUAUUUUACAUACCUGUUGCCGCCUUUGGAGAAUCCUUAAGAUGUGAUGGUGGAGGAGAUGAAGUUCGCAAUGUUCUUUGCGGUGGUCUUGUUAUUCUAGAGGCUGGUUUAGACCUGUACAAAAUAAUUUUAGUUCAGGUUUUGGACUUGGAUUCAAUUCCAUCAGUAUACAAGUCCAUAUCAAAAAGCCCCAAAAGUAAUCUCUACAUAUAGACAAAAUCAAGCAACAAAAUGCAGUAGGCUGCUGCUUUGGACUAGCUCAUUACAAGAACAGAAAAUUAUUUCACCCAAGUCAGGGGUAAAGAAUGGUUUGAUAUCUCAUGAUGGGAGAAUUAGUACCCACAUUGGUCAAGGUCCCAAGUUGAAGGGAGACAUAAAAUGGAUAUUACCACAGCAAAUUAUCAACACAACCAUUACUUUCCAAAAAAAGAUUUUGCAUAAAUAAAAUGAAUUAAAUGUAGUAGCAGACCAACUGAUAGAGCAUUCAGUUUUUUAAUAAUGAAGAAAAUUAAAACAGAAAAUUCAAGCUCUCUUUUGCAAUUUUCAUAUGUUUUACUCACAGAUGAAUCUUUGUAUCAACACCCAAAGACUGAAGUAAAGAAGAAAAAUACUCACUUCUCUGUGGUCUCUGAUGCUUUAGAUUGAGCAGGGCCAUUAUUUUCUGUUCGCAUAGGAAAACCACCAUCAGAUGUAUCACUUGAUCUCUCGUCACAAUCUGUCUCCCCAAAUCCUAAGGUCGAAGCAUCUGCAGGAUUAUUCUGACCUAUGUCCCCACCGGCAAGCUUUGAUUUCCGAAGGGAUUCAUUUGGUUGUUUAAAGUCUUCCAUGGACUGCUGGGAAUCAGCAUCAGAAUGCUUAUCACUGUAUUCUGAACUGUUGUCCUGAUCAGAAGCUGCUCUCUCAGCUGGUCCUAAGCCUUUCCCACCUGGUAGUUUCUGGCUUAGUUGAGCAGUCCCACCCACGAAAUUCCUGCUUGGUGGGGAAGAUCCAUACUUAAACGAACCUGUAACACUUCUCUCACAGUUGAGACCAGGAUGUACAUUUUUGAGAUCUUUAAGUAGUUGCAACCGUUCGAUCUCCUCAUCUUUUUUGGCAAUUGUGUCUUUGAGAGAUGCCACCUGCAGGAUCAAUAAGGUAUUUAGAAAACAAGGAACUACCAGUGCCUUGAAAGAUGAUUACUAGUUUUGAUGUUUAACUAAAAUUGAAAUGAGUAAACAAGCAGGUAUAUUCGGUAUGAAAAGACCUAGAUGGAAAUCAGAUGAUAGAAAAUCCACCUUUUCACAUGUGCACAUAUAUCAGUAAUCAAUCAAAAAGGAGUUCUAAUGUAUAUAAACAAAAGAACAGGGUACAGUGUAUUGCAAGAGCACAGUACAGGGCGUUCAAGACCGUCUUUGAAUGCACCUCAAUAUGAUCACUAGACUCCAAAGCUCAAGAAAAAUGGUGUCCCUCCUCUUAAGCAUAUAGCUCCAGUUAAGUGAUAAAUAGAAAAAUGCAAAAAGCACAUACCUCUCCCAAGUGUUUUCAAAUAUCUCUUUCUUUUCAUCUCCAAGUGUUCCUAUAUUCCUUCUUGUUUUGUGUAUGUACCAUGUAUACACAUAAAGAUAUAUUUGUGUAUUCUGUUUUCAAAACCAAAAGCCAAAAACAUUAUCCCCUCAUUUCCUUAUAGCAAAGGGUCAAUAAUCUCGAACUUAUUUUUUCACCUUCUAAAACAUUGGUGUGGAGGUGACAAAAGCAGGGUCCACAAGGACUCAUUUGUAAAGCAAAUCAAUUAUCUAUGACAAUUUUCCUCCUAGUAAAUUGUUGUUGAACAUAUGAAAGCAGUAGCCCCUAGAAAUCAACUGAUAUUUUAUGUAACCAUGUGACCCGACAACUAGAGGAGUAAGAUCUCAUACAUCCUCAGCAAUUAUUUUGAGAUGAAUGUCUGGAAUUAAAACACAGUCCCUAUUCUGAACGUAAGCUGAAUUGGAUAAUAACUGAAAGAUUGAUUGAUCGCUCUGCAAGUUAAGAAAGAGCAAGGGAAAAGGAAAACAAAAAAAAGAAAAAAAAGAUCUUGAGGUCCACUGAGAAAUUAGACCUACUCAACUACUUGAGUAAACCUUAUAUAUUUCUAUAGUGCUUGCAAUACGUCUUGAAAAGCAUAAAAUUCUAUUUAGCACCAUGGCUAGUAAAUAUUCAACAAACUGCUACUUAAAUGAAUAUGAGAACCUGAUCCAUUAAUUCCUUAACGUCCCUGCCCUCUUUGCUACUCCGUGCAGCACCUAGCUCGACUCCAGAAACCCUCUCAGCAAAUUUCAAAGUACUUGCAGUUUCAGAAAAUGAAUUCACAUCAGGAUUAAGCUGCACAAACAUAAGAGUCUUUGCUUGACCACCUGUAGUUUAUAAAGUAGAAAAUAAAAAUCCGCUAUAUGAAGUUCAAAAAGAGGACUAUUGGGAGCUAAGGAAAUAAUUUAGAGUCCUGACGAAACAAUAAGACAGGUGAAGGGAUUUAUUGCUAAAAGCAACUGGAAAACAGUGAAGUACCAAGAGAACUCUGAAGGACUUGAGUAAGCUUGCUGUUUCUGUAUGGUACAUGAGAGCUCUUCUGGGCAAGAGCAAAGAUAACAUCUCCAAGGGCAGAUAGCGAUUUGUUUAUAUGUUGUGCUUCCCUAAGUCUCUCUCCAGUUACCUCAGAGCGAUCUACCCUUUCACUUCCUGCAAGAUCCACCAAGUGAAGACUGCCACGCAAAGAAGCACCAGUCUUCAAAUCCGUCCCCCAAGCAUGAAUAGUUACAAUACUGCAAUAACACAUCUAAGUGAAGAUCAUAACAUGUAGAACAUAUACAGUCUGAAGAUGGUAAUAUCUAAAAAUGAAAUGACAACCUGUGGGAGCGGCUACUUCUUUCAUUCAUAGCAGUGGCACCUACAGAUCUAUUCUUUUGUCCAAUGUCCAUUAAUUCCAUUACAUCUGAGGUUGAUUUGACUGGGAGCAUGGUAGCAUCAGGAACAGCUAACCCAUGGGGCUGAGAGGUAGUCAAAAUCCCAAGUGUGUGCAAAUUAAGGAAAACAAAGGAUUUCAUGCCAAAACACAUGAAAACUAUUUUUCACUUAAUCAAACCCAAGAAGAAAAAGGCCAAGAUGCAGAAUUAACAAAGAUUUCAAAGAGAAUUAUACCACACCAGACAGAUAAAUCUGGAAAAAUCUAGAAAUGUAACUGGAAGAUUAUAGAGAAAUGUUUUAUGACAGUUAUCUGUCAGACAAAAACUAGUCAAUGGAUUAGGCAGAACAACUCAAAGCGAAAACAGAAGAUGAAAAUGAAUAGAGAAGGAUAUCCUUUUUACAUCUUUAUGCCAAAGAAUGAAAAUGAAUAGAGAAGGAUAUUUUUUUUGAGAACUAUCACUUGAUAGUAAAUCACGCACUUGUUCAUUGUAUAUUUCAACCAUUUGAACUCCAAUUUCAUACAUAAAUGAGCUUCUCCUGCUUUGAGUGAUCUCAAAGAGGUCACUUAGUGCACGAUAAUUGACACCCCAUUCCUCCUUGGAUGCUGCAUUGGGGCCAGUCUAGAGGAAAGACAAUACAUUACACAAGUUUUUAUUGAAAAUAUCAACACAUAUGCCAUGUAGACUAAAACAUAUACAAGUUCAUACCAUUGUGUAUGUCUUGCCCGAACCAGUUUGACCAUAAGCAAAUAUACAUACAUUAUAGCCAUCAAGAACAGAUCGUACCAAGGGUUGAGUGUCAGAAAACACCUCAGCUACAAACAUUUUCCAAGCAUAAUAUGAGUCAAGCAUUAUAAUGAUUUCUUGAAAGAGAUCUAUUCAAGGAUCCAAAUUAUAAAAUAUAAGGAUGAAAAACCUUGAGUAGCAGCUGGGCCAUAGACCUUAUUGAAUUUGAACAACCGAUGACUGUCUUUUCCUUGUUUUGAGGGAUUCACAAUACCGAGCUCCCCAUCUUCACCAAUAUAUUCUAUGGUUGUCUGCUUUCCAUUCUGCCCACGGAGAAAUGGCCUUAUCCGGCAAUACACCCUAAUGUUUCCUAUCCAAGAAAUACAUGCAUCAGCCAAAAGAUGCAUUCAUAUAAAACUAGUCGUGAUUCCAACAGAGUUAAAUUGGGCAUGGAACCUUUUAAAUCUUGAACCUCAUUAUAAAGUCUCCUAUUUUCAGCAAGAACUGCAUGAUAGUUUUCAGAGGCAUCUACUAAUGCUUUUAGCUUUACUCCUGAACAACAGAAAAAUCGAUCUAUGAGAACAUGCUACAUAAAUUUAUAUAGAAUCAGGAGAACUUUGUAGUAACCAACCUCACCUAAGCAUUUAAAAUCCUCUGAAUAGCUCUUCUGUGUUUCCAAUACUUCUUUCUUGAUGGACUCGGAAGUGGACCUCAAUCCCUGAUUGUUUAUUCAAAGUUCCAGUAUAAAACAUGAGCAUUAAAUAGUAUAGUUUGAAAGGUCAAGAUCAAUUUGGUUAAAGCGGACCUGCAAGGCACUGAAUAGAAAAUUCACAAGUCUCAGGUAGCUUUGCUCUUUCUUAUCCCACCUUUGGCCUUCUAACCCAGAAUAAGCCUCAAGUUUAUUUAUCUUAUUCCUUGAAUCGGCUAGGAGCUGCUCAAGUUCCCUUGACCUCUUCUCAAACUCUGCUUUAUCUCCCAUACCUUGCUUUUCCAUUUCUGAGAAAUGUUCUUCAUAUGUCUUCCUGGCUAUUUCCAGUUCUUGCUUCAGAGCAGUAAUUUCGAUAUUAUUUUGAUCCUUCUCUUUGUUGGCUAUUUCAAGUUCUUGCUUCAAAGCUGAAAUUUCAAUGCCACUUUGAUCCUUCUUCUUCUUGGCCAUUUCCAGUUCUUGCCUCAGAACCAAAAUUUUAGAAUCAUUUGGAUCCUUCUCUUUCUUCCUUGCUAUUUCCAGUUCUUGCUUUAAAGCUGAAAGUUCCAGAUGGUAUUGCUCCUUCUCUUUCUUCCGGGCCAUUUCCAUUUCUUGCUUCAGAGAAGAAAUUUCAAGAUUUGUGUCAUCCUUCUCUUUUAUCAGUCUAGCCAUAUCCUCCUCAAGCUUCUUCUUGUCUUCCACAUUGGCCUUUUUAGUCUGAAAUAAAAAGAAAUAAAAUUAAAGACUUCAAAGGUAUCCAUACAACCAAGAAAGCAAUAUUAUUUUUUCUCAGGCAAACAAAAUAUGCACCAUGUCAUCUCAAGCAACUGAUCAACAAUUGCAGCAAAUUAAGAAUAGAAUCAAUUGUGAAUACGCCUUCCACUUCCAUCAUGAAAGGAGAAAUUUGAUAUAUCAGUGGGCAGUCAAACCUCACUAUUUCCAUCCUCAUCUUUAACAUCAUUUAACUUUUGAUUCUUAAUGAACACAAAUCAAGGAUAUCAAACAUAUUAAAGUGGUUGAAAAUUGUGAAAAGAAACACCAGAAUCCAGUAAAUGAAGGAAGAAGCAUUGAGGGAAGGAGAGGAUACCACAGGACUCAAGAUUUUUUUUUUUUUUAUAACCGAAGAACCUUCCAUGGCUAAGCCCUUAGGACUCUCCAUGGGAACUCAAACCUCGGGGUGCUAACCACCCCACAACAACCAGCACCGGGUAAAUUCAGAGUAUCAUCCAUAGUAGGAUUCAAACCCAGGACCAUGUGCAACUUACUAGGACCACACUUCCCAAUGUUCGCCCUAACCAACUAGGCUAUCCUGGCAGGGACCAUAGGACUCACAUAUCUGGCUGCACAUGUUUUCAUGUAAUGUUAACUAAAAUUUUACUAAAUCUUAGACUACCUAAAAGUUGUUUUAUGAAUCCUUUGUUUUAGGUGCAACAAAUUGAACAAUUAUGGGAAGCAAAAAGCAAAAAAUACACAUCGGUAUAUUUUGGAACAGAGAAUAGUCCCUAAAGGAUAUCAGAUACAGGAUGUUUGAAGUAAAAGAUGAAUAACAUAAAAGAGACUUUCUAAUAUCUCAAUUAAGAAAAAUGCUCACAGAUUAUAGCCAUACCUUUAUCUGCUGGAGAUGAUUCAAUACAAUCUGCAGCAAAUAAUUUCAUUUGGUGAAUCCAGUAGUUGUACCAAAUAAACAAAAAGGCAAACCUGACAAUUUAGAAUCUUUCAAUACAACAUAUUUGAAGUACCUGGUUUUCAUCAUUAGUCCCAGUUGCAAGGGUUUCAAGUACUCUGAUUCUCGACUGGUAUUUCUCUUCCCGAGACUUAAAGAGAUUGUUUUGCUGCAGGCACAAACCAAUAGAAAAGAAUUGAUAUGGACUAGACAAUAAAAACCAAUAAAAGAAACAAAGUAAGUAUAUUACAGUUCUUAAGUGUUCUGCUUGAGUUGAUAUUCGCCGCUCAAUUUCCUGCACAACUUUUCUCAAUAGACAUGCCACACGCUGAGGAAAAAAAAACAAAAAAUAAAAAGCAUCCUCAGAUAAGUUUUUUAGCAUUAAAAAUGCAUUUAUAUUAUCAAUAUAUAUAUAUAUAUAUAUAUAUGCCUUAAUUUAACACCAGUUGCCCUCUCAUUGCCAUACGUGAGGUAUCUCUUCAUUCUUCCUUUCAACGCUUUCAUCUAGAAUUCCAUUCACAACACUCAAAAGUGACUGAGUUGGGGCAUUCUGCAAAAAUGAGAUGCUUGAAUGCAUUAAAGAAGCAUAAAACUGAAAAGACCACCUAAAAAAUCCUAAAUCUUGCCCAAUUAUGUCCAUUGACAACAUAAGGUGCCAUAUGACUUACAUCUAAACUGUUAGAUUUCAUCAUUUCUGUAAGCUUAGCAGCAGGAAUAUCCGCAUAGCGUCCUUGUUUCAGUUGAAACACCUCAUGGAACUUGUGUCCCACAUGAUAUAUUAAUGCAGCUGAUGGCUCUACAAAAAGGGGAAAAAGUAAGAUAACAACACUACGUCCAAAUAAAAUUAUCAUUAUUGAAGAGCAUCUGCUAGUUUUGUGUUGUUAGAAUACAAAAAAACUAUCCACUGUCUCAAUAUAGCAGAUCUCACUUCACAACUUCACUAUGGAUAAAAGCUGUUAUCAUAUAUUCAUAUGGCUGCAUUAGAACAGACAAGCACAUAGAGGAAUAGAGUACAAAAAAACCAUACCAGACUUGACAGGACUACGCAAAGCACGUUGAAAUUUGGAUUCUGAAAAACUCUUUUGCCUGUCUUCUCCACAUGGUGUAGGCCCACGCGAAGGAUCAUCCACUUGAGGACCAAUGUUUCCAGAUUUAGAAAAUGAACUACUGAAUGGAAAAUUAUUUCCACAUACAGUUGGUAUAGUGUGUGCUUUAAGUGUUAAAAUGCACUCCAAAACAGUCUUCAUAGAUCCCUGCAACAUAAAAUCAACAUUAUGAUAAAUGCCGAGAGCUCUGGUGAUGCUAAGAAAACAUAUACUCAAAUUCAUUUGAGCAAAUUAAUCAAAAAAAAAUUUGAAAUUCACUACUUCAACUUUGAGAUGUUUGCAAAUUGCUAAGAAAAUAAAUGUAAAUAAACCUACAAUGACUUCAGUGGGAGUACUACUAGUUUGUGUACAUAAUGGAUAGUAAUUCUUAUAAACAAUUGAUAGUAGGUCAUGAAAACAAUUGAUACCUUUUCCAGGUCUGCAAUUUCAAACCCGGGCAUCCCUAAUGCGUCCAAAGCCUCCAGAAACUUUUUAACAUUUUCAUAGCGCAUCCCAGAAGAAUGAUCAUAAUCACGCACCUAAAGUAAAAAAAAAAUGCACAUCAAAACAACAAUUCUAACAUCCAGAGAUGAAAUUCAACACUAACUGCAUCUAAAUGAACAAACCUCACUCACAGAACCAGGUCUCAGUCUGUUCAAAAACCGACAUAAAACAGCACCAUCAAUCAAGCAGGCCCUCAAUUCCUCUACUGAAGCUUUUACUGGCAAAUUUAAAUUAGGAAGCAUGGAAUUUAACCACUCCGCCACAAUGGCUCGCUUCUUGUCUGCAUAAAAGGGAAUGAAAUAAAUACAAAGUUCAGUAAAUUAAGAUGGGAAAAACAAAGGAAGAGAGGAGCAAAAUCACCCUUUCUUCACCUUUAUCAUCAGCAUUAUGAGUUGCCAUUGGUUCAAAAACAUCCCCAUUACCAGAUACUCUGAAACUGCCAAUUCCCCCAUAUUUCUUUGCGUUGUAAUCCAAUGUAGAGUCCAUGAUGAAAUACAAGGGAAGACAUCUAGCUUCAAAGCUCAAAACCUCAAACUACGAAAAAUAAGAAAAAAACCCCCCAGAUUGUUUCAAUAAAAUCCAAAGAAAUCAUUUGCAGGAAGAAGGGAACAAAAAGUUUAUUUAUCUCCAGACUUCCCCAGAAAUGCAACAAUCCUGAAAAGUUAUUAAAAAAAAAAUGUAAUCAUCACCACAACUUUAUUUCACAUUCCCUCAUCAACUCAAUACAUUAAACGAUGUUAUGCAUUAAACCCAUGGUUCAUGCCUGGUAAUGGCAUUAUUUUAAUUUCCAAAGGCAAGAGAAUCAAAUGCUUCUUUUGCAUGGUGAGCACGUAACACAACCCAUUACCAAACACCAACCAACCAUUAAGUCAGAGCUCAAACUCUGACUGGUAGGGAGCCCAAGCAGAAAACGGAAAUACAAAUAUAUUCACCUGCAUGGGUGGAAAAUGAGAGAGACCCAACUCAGAAAAGAUUUCAGCGAUGGCCCCUGGGCUCCUCCUCCAUCUGGUGUAGCUUCAAAAGUUUCAUUGGCAACAAGGAUUUCAAGGAAGAGAAGAGAGGAGAGAAAAUGGUGGAAACAAGAGAAGAAAAAAAGUUUGGAAAAGGCAUAAUGAAUGAAUAAAUAUUACAGAGAGAGGGAAGAAGAUCGAUGGACGGCCGGCCGUUUAAUCCUGGUCAAUCGUGGUUGAAAUGUGUUGAAAUUCAUACGUGGCCACGUACUAUACGGCAAUUAUAUAUUUUUUUUUUAAAUGUAAUAUUAAUAUUUUGAAAGAAAUAUAUUAAUAAAUAAUAAUAAGAUUAUGUUUAAUAUUUGAAUUUAAAACUUAGAGUGUUGAUUUUUGAAAACGUUUCUAGUUUUUUAAUAUUUUAAUAAUAAAAAUUUUAAAAUGUCAUAAAAUCAUUAUUAAACAGGUUCUUAAUUAAGUGAUUAGAGGAGUAUUAAAGGGACUUAAUUUAUUUUGUUGGUUAUAAUUAUUUUUAUAAUAAAAAAUAAUUUAAAAUUUGCCUAGACCAACCAAACUUAACCAAGAUCUAAUUUAAUGUUUUAUAAAUUUUACAAUAUAUUAUUAUUUAUAAUUAUAUAUUUUCAAAUAAUUAUAAAAGAAAAAUGUCAAUUUAAUUGUAUUAUGUAUUAUUUUAUUUUUUUUAAUAAAAAUAAAUUCAUUUUGCAUUUUUAUUAUUCUUAAAAAUAAUGUGUCAUUUGAUAUGAAGUGUAUCAAAAAUAAAAUCAAAAUACUAUCACUAAGUGGAAUUUUCUUUUUUUCCUUUUUUCUUUUACUUUUUUUUUUCUUUUCUUUUUUUUUUUUUUUUGUUAUCACAACGAAAGCUUUGAUGCAAACAUCGUUAAUCAAGAACAAAAGAUAAAAUAAUCAAUAUAAACAGUACACGAGGUUUUAACAUGGUUCGACCAACCAUGCCUACGUCCACGGAUAAGAUAAUCAUUUCACAAUACAAUAAAUAAUAUUACAUGACAGAACCAGAACAUUAGAGAUGACAUAACUAGAUAUAACUAUUGGGUUCUUCAAACAUGUCAUGUUUCCCCACUCUUUGUAUCUCUACCCUACCAUGAGCUCUAUCGCUUCACCAUGUACCUCUUGUUUUUCCUCAUAUCUCUAUUCACCUCAUAUAGUCUUUACAAACUCAUCUUCAAUUCAUAACUUUUUCUCUUUCAUAACCUAGAAUAUUUAUAGACAUAUUUCCAAUAACCUUUCUUAUUUUACAAGGAAGCCUAAUAUCAACCUAAAAAUAUUCUAUAUAAUAUUUUUUUCUACAAAAGAAGAAUAUAUACUAAUUAGGAAUUUGAGACACUUCUUAACAAUCUCCACAUUGGACCAAAUUCCAUAAAGUCAAUCUUCAAUGGCACAAACUUUUUUUUAUUUUUAUACCACGAGAGAGCAAUCAACUCCACCUUCAUUGAAAAUUUCUUUUGUUUUCAUCUUGUGUACUUUGUGAUCUUUUACUUUUCCAGAAAUCUUUAACCUAAGUUUUGAUACCGGUUUGUUGUGUCGGCGAAAGCUUUGAUGCAAUCAUCGUUAAUCAAUAACACAAAGAUAAAAUAAUCAACACAAACGAUAUACUAGGUUUUAAUGUGGUUCAACCAACCAUGUUUAUAUUGACGUAUAAGAAAUGAUUAUUUCACUAUACAAUAGAGAACAUUACAGAUGAUAAAACUAGAAUAUUAUAGAUGAUAUAACCAAAUACAAUUAUUGGGUUCCUGAAACAUCUUAUAUUUUCCCAUUCUUUGUAUCCCUACUCUACCACAAGUCUUCUCGUUCUAUUGGUACCUCUCGUUCUUCCACACAUUUCCCCUUAUGACCUAAAAUAUUUAUAAAAAUAUUUCCAAAGAACCUUCCUUAUUCUAUAAGGAAAUCUAAUAUUACAAUAAUAUAUUAACCUAAAAGUAUUCUAUAUAAUAUUUUUUUUUACAAAAGAGAAAUAUAUAUUAGGAAUUUAGGACACUUCUUAACAAUAUUAAUUUUAAUAUAACUUGAAUUUACCUUAUGUUUGAAAAUAUGAUAUUAUGAUACUAGAUUAAAAUGAAUUGAAAAAAUAUUUAUUAAUUUAGAUUGGGAUCUUCAAUGCAAACCCAACUUAAUCUAAUCUAAAUUCAACCUUAUAAUAGAAUCAAAUUUAAAUUCAUGAAUUUGAAUAGAAGCUAAACUUAAUAUUAAAUUAAAUUAAAGUUUUAUAAUCCAAGCAAUAUCUUUUGUUUACUUUAUACUCUUAAGAAAACAUUAUUUUUUUUUAUCAACUAAAUUUAUUUUCCUAAUAAGCCAUUUUAAUUUCCACAUUGGACCAUGAAAUAAGAUAAAAAAAAAAAAAAUACUCCUUUACGAUAGGACAUUUUGUUAAAAAAUGGUGGUUGUAAAAAUAAUUUGGGUGUAUAAUAGUUUAAAAAAUAUUUUUAAAUGUAUGGCUAAAAUGCCAAUGAAAAAUCGUGUUUUAAAAAGACAACUUGGCUUACAUCACAUUGAAUUUAUCUUUUGUAAAAACCAUUUCAAUAUAAAUUUUAAAAUUUAAAGUUAAAUUUUUUAAAAUAUAACUUUUAUUCAAUACUUUUUCAACUACUUAUUUUAAAAACAAUUAUGUAAAAAUAUAAUAUUUUUUUCCAAAUCCAUGACGUUUAUAACCACACAAGGAAAAUAAUUUUUUUUUUUAAAUAAUCAUAUCAUCAAUUCAACUAAUUUUUAUAAUAAUUCCUAUAAAUUUUUAUAUUUAAUAAAUAGAAACCAUCUGCUUGCGACGUCAAUAUAGAGCAUGGGAUGUGAAAUCAGUUGAUUGAAGGUUUAUAAUAAUUCUCAUAAAUUUUUAUAUCUAAUAAAUAGAAACCAUCUGUUUGUUCGGAGAAUGGAAUGUAGAAUUCAUCAGCUAUUGAUUGUGGUUAUAAAUUUAUCAGAUAUAUAUUAAGUAGGUCAGUGGGUGCAAAACCCCAACUCAAAACUGGUCUAACAGUCCAAAAAUCCCAAUCUCUUAGACAACCUCUGGCUGUGGGAACCUACAUGAAACUUAUAAACAAUCUUUGCUAUAUGUUUUGUUCAGUCUUGGAGAGUUGAGACUUGAUGAAACCCAAUAAUGAUGAAAAUUGGCUUUUCUCCCUGGGCUCAUCUUUAAUCUCAGCACCACAAGCAAAAUUGUAGGCAAACACCCUACACGUAUGAAAAACAAAGAACAAAAAGCCAUAUAAUACUUAAUGAAUUAAUCAGUAAUUAGAAGAUGCUAUCCUUUAUGUUUCCACCAGUAAGCAGACUGAAAAAAGGAUCUUCCUUGUUUUCAUUGUCACUUUUGAUUUCCUCAACAGGGAAAAAGGGUGUGGUAGCUGCUGAUACUGUAGGUCUCUUCACGGAGACAAAAGCCACUUUAUUGCUUGAAUCAAAUUUACGUUUUAAAGGAUUUGAACUCGGAAAUGAGCUUGUGUGUGGAAGCAAGCCUUGUUCUGGGAGGAGAUUCUCAAUAGAGGAUCCUUCAACUUCUGAACCAUUGCUAACUUGCACACUAUCUUCAACCCGCUUCCCAUCAUCACUUUCAAGGGAAGGAUUCACCAGUAGAGAUUUGUCCUCACUGACCAGAGUUGGACCCUCUUCUGAACUGUGGAGCAUGUCUGUCUUCUUGGAGCCAAGUUCAUCAUCUACACAAAAGACAAAUGUUACAGAACUGGGCAAGAGAAAUAGUAGCACCAGAAUACAAAGCAACAGCAAGAAACCAGAGGUUAAGGCAGCUGCAAAUAAAUUAUGAGAAUUGGAAAUACUCAUUUGCAGCAUGCUAGCUUGUUUAGCAACAAAAUAUAUAAAACUAGCACCAAAAAUCCAAUUGACAAGCCUCGAGGAAAUUUUCCAUCCAGUCAAAGUGUCCAAGUUGCAGGAAAUCAAUAGCUUCAGCAUAACAACAGGGCUCUGUUGUUUCAAGAAUAAAUGUUAACUUCCUAAACGUCUCAAAUGGAACCCAACACAGCAUCAUGCCUCUGGAAGCAACUUUUCAUAGCCUCCAGAAAAGUGAGCUCAAGCUUGAAUUCAAGAGGACGAAAUUGAAUCUUCAGCUAUAAACUAAAACAUGAUGUAGCUCACUUUAGCUUCUGUCAAGUCUAUGUCUAAAGUAAAUCAUCAUAUGUCUGAGGAUUAAAUAGAUGGUUAAACAGGAAAAUUGAAUCAUUUUUUACCCUAAUGAAUAUUCUUGAUCAUGAAAUAGAUGGAACCAUUCUUAUCCAAUGGUCAUUGGUAAUGUAUCUGACAUUAAUCAGUACUUAUAAAAAUAUGAUAGAAUAAGUAAAAAUGUUGAAUAUAAUGUAUUUAUAGUAUAUUAUCUUUCCUUGUUAAUAUAGGUCACAUGUAUGGUAGUUAGGACUCCUAGCCUUGUAUAUAUAUAUAUCUCAAUUGUAAGUAGACAUUACAUGAAUGAGAAUUAAGGUUUUUCUCCUUUCUCUCUCUCUCUUUCAACAUGGUAUCAGAGCCAAGGAAGAAAACCUAAUUCUUUCCUGUUUCCCGUGUCAUCAACUCCGGGAAACCUUCCGGUGACUGUGUUUCUUUCCGGUCACCCUCCCCAUCUCCCAACACUUUCCGGUCAGUCGGAUCAUCGUUAGAAACCACUCACCGCCGGCAAAAUUUUCCGGCAAAUUUUCCGGCGAACUUUCCCGGCGACCUAUUUUUCCGACACUGACCAUACCAGAAGGAGCGCCUGGAGGAGAUCUCCAACUUUUGUGAAGGCACCAGCAUCAAAAGAGGAUCCACGCGCCGGCGACUGCAUCUCACGCGCCGGCGACUGCAUCUCACGCGCCGGCGCGUGAGGGCGCGUGAGGCCUUUUCCGGCGACGCGCCUCCUCCUCCAGCCUCGCCUGCCGCCGACCAGCAUCCCUACCUACCUGGUUCUCCCAUCCGAGCCCUGCACGUACCUCUUUUGGGGAUUUUUGUCUCCGUCAGCCCUCCAAACAACCUUUCCGGCGAAGUUCCGGCUACUUUCUCUCCACCCCAAUCCCUGCACGUGCCUUGGGAAGUGUUCAUCUACCUUUCUGGUGGUACCACGUCGCGAUCUGAGGCCGUCUCCCUUUUUCGGUGGUGCCACGCCGCAAUCUGAAGCCGUAUUAGGGCUCUCUUCGAUCCAAAUACGUGAAUAUGACCACCAAAAAUCAGAUCUUUACCUCUGUUAUCUCUGGAUCUCCUAUGAUUACCUCAGAGAAAUUGGUUGGCAGUGAAAAUUAUCUUUCCUGGUCUGCCUCUGUUGAACUUUGGUUUAUGGGUCAAGGAUAUGAGGAUCACUUGGUUUCCCAGGAGGCAGAUAUCCCUGAGGUUGACCGCGUACAGUGGAGGAAGAUAGAUGCACAGUUAUGUAGUGUAUUAUGGCAAUCGGUUGAUCCCCGGAUUCUUCUUCAUCUUCAGGCCUAUAAAACUUGUUUUAAAUUUUGGACUCAAGCCAAAGGAUUAUACACGAAUGAUAUCCAGCGUCUUUAUAAGGUGGCUUCUGCUAUUGUCCAUCUCAGCCAACAGGACUUGGAUCUAUCUACUUAUAUUGGUCAGAUUGCCUCUCUUAAGGAGCAGUUCUUGACUGUGAUGCCUCUUACUCCUGAUGUUGGGGCUCAACAAACACAGCUUGACAAGUUCUUCAUGGUCCUUACUCUUAUUGGCCUCCGUCCGGAUCUUGAGCCUAUUCGUGAUCAGAUUCUUGGUAGUUCAUCAGUUCCGUCCUUGGAUGAUGUGUUUGCUCGCCUCCUCCGUAUCUCGUCCACUCAGACUUUGCCAUCUGAUAGCGCUUCAGAUUCUUCUGUGUUAGUUUCUCAAACUACCUCUCGAGGAGGACGCAGUGGUACCCGAGGUAGAGGCCAACGUCCUCAUUGCACCUAUUGCAAUAAACUUGGCCACACUCGCGAUCGUUGCUAUCAGUUACAUGGAAGACCUCCUCGCACUGCCCAUAUGGCCCAGUCCUCUGAUUCUCCGCUGCCUCAGCCUCCGAGCUCCUCCGCAUCUCAGACAUCUCAGGCUUCUAUUGCCUCUGUUGCCCAGCCUGGUAAUGCCUCUGCCUGCCUUACCCACACAUCUUCUCUUGGACCCUGGAUUCUAGAUUCUGGAGCAUCUGAUCACCUAUCUGGUAAUAAAGAUAUUUUCUCCUCUAUUACUACUACCUCUGAUUUACCUACUGUUACUUUAGCUAAUGGUUCUCAAACUGUGGCUAAAGGUAUUGGUUUGGCCCUUCCUCUGCCUUCUCUACCUCUCACUUCUGUCCUUUAUACUCCUGAAUGUCCUUUUAAUCUUAUUUCCAUCAGCAAAAUCACUCGUACUCUUAAUUGUUCUAUUACCUUUUCUGAUAAAUUUGUGACCUUGCAGGACCAGAGUACGGGGAAGACGAUUGGCAUAGGACGUGAGUCUCAAGGCCUCUAUCACCUCACCUCAGAUUCAUCUCCUGCAGUUUGCAUUUCCACUGAUGCUCCUCUCCUCAUUCACAAUCGUCUGGGCCACCCUAGUCUCUCCAAGUUCCAGAAGAUGGUUCCUCGUUUUUCCACUUUGUCGUCGCUUCCGUGUGAGUCAUGUCAGCUUGGGAAACAUACUCGUGUCUCGUUCCCAAAGCGUUUGAAUAAUCGGGCAAAGUCUCCUUUUGAGCUUGUCCACACUGAUGUUUAGGGUCCUUGUCGGACUGCGUUUACUUUAAGAUUUCAGUAUUUUGUCACUUUCAUUGAUGACUAUUCUCGAUGUACUUGGUUAUUUUUAAUGAAAAAUCGAGCUGAGUUAUUUUCUAUUUUCCAGAAAUUUUAUACUGAAAUCCAAACCCAGUUCAAUAUUUCUAUUCGUGUGUUACGCAGUGACAAUGCCAAGGAAUAUUUUUCAGCCCAAUUUACUUCGUUUAUGUCUCAUCAUGGGAUUCUUCAUCAGUCUUCUUGUGCUCAUACUCCUCAACAAAAUGGGGUAGCUGAACGCAAGAAUCGACAUCUUGUUGAGACAGCUCGUACUCUCCUCCUCUAUAGUCACGUUCCUUUUCGUUUUUGGGGGGACGCUGUUCUUACCGCUUGUUAUUUGAUUAAUCGUAUGCCCUCCUCUGUCUUACACGAUCAGAUUCCUCACUCCCUUCUUUUCCCUGACCAACCACUUUAUUUCCUUCCUCCUCGUGUCUUUGGUUGUACUUGCUUUGUUCAUAUUCUCACUCCUGGACAGGACAAGCUUUCCGCCAAAGCCAUGAAGUGCCUCUUCUUGGGAUAUUCCAGACUUCAGAAGGGUUAUCGUUGCUAUUCCCUUGAGACUCAUCGAUACUUUAUCUCCGCUGAUGUCACCUUCUUUGAGGACUCACCAUUCUUUUCCACCACUUCUGAGUCUCUUCCUGUUUCUGAAGUCUUGCCCAUUCCCAUUGUCUUCCCACCUGAUGCUAUGCCCCCUCGACCACUUCAGGUUUAUCAUCGUCGCCCUCGUGUCGUUGCUCCUCUCCCUUUUCCUGAGGCACCUGCUGACUCACUUCCUAUCCCUUCGACUUCACCUGCCCCGGCUCUGCCUUCUCCUAAUGACUUACCCAUUGCUGUUCGAAAAGGUACUCGCUCUACUCGUAAUCCUCAUCCUAUUUACAAUUUUUUGAGUUAUCAUCGAUUAUCUUCACCCUAUUCUGCUUUUGUUUCUGCUAUAUCCUCUGUUUCUCUUCCAAAGAGCACCCAUGAAGCUCUUUCCCAUCCAGGCUGGCGACAGGCAAUGGUGGAUGAAAUGGCUGCUCUGCACUCUAAUGGCACUUGGGAUCUUGUUGUUUUACCCUCUGGUAAAUCUACAGUUGGUUGUCGUUGGGUUUAUGCAGUUAAGGUUGGUCCUGAUGGUCAGGUUGAUCGCCUUAAGGCCCGCUUAGUUGCUAAAGGCUAUACUCAAGUUUAUGGUUCUGAUUAUGGUGACACAUUCUCACCUGUUGCCAAGAUUGCUUCUGUCCGCUUGCUUCUCUCCAUGGCUGCUAUGUGUUCUUGGCCUCUUUAUCAGUUGGAUAUUAAAAAUGCCUUCCUUCAUGGUGAUCUUGCCGAGGAAGUUUAUAUGGAGCAACCUCCUGGUUUUGUUGCUCAGGGGGAGUCUGGUUUAGUGUGCAGGUUACGCCGUUCUCUAUAUGGCUUGAAACAAUCUCCUCGAGCAUGGUUUAGCCGUUUUAGUUCUGUUGUUCAAGAGUUUGGCAUGCUUCGCAGUACAGCAGACCAUUCAGUUUUUUAUCAUCAUAACUCCUUGGGGCAGUGUAUUUAUCUGGUUGUUUAUGUGGACGACAUCGUCAUUACAGGCAGUGAUCAGGAUGGUAUUCAGAAACUAAAGCAACAUCUUUUUACCCACUUUCAGACCAAAGACUUGGGGAAACUCAAGUAUUUCUUGGGAAUUGAGAUAGCUCAAUCCAGUUCUGGUGUGGUCCUUUCCCAAAGGAAGUAUGCUUUAGACAUCCUGGAAGAAACCGGUAUGUUAGACUGUAAACCGGUAGACACACCUAUGGAUCCGAAUGUCAAACUUGUACCAGGACAGGGGGAGCCUUUAGGAGACCCUGGGAGAUAUCGACGGCUCGUAGGUAAAUUGAACUAUCUCACCAUUACUCGUCCAGACAUUUCUUUUCCUGUGAGUGUUGUUAGUCAAUUCCUACAGUCACCAUGUGAUAGCCAUUGGGAUGCCGUAAUCCGUAUUCUUCGAUAUAUCAAAAGUACACCAAGCCAAGGUGUAUUGUACGAGAACAGAGGUCAUACUCAAGUUGUUGGUUACACAGAUGCAGAUUGGGCUGGCUCACCCACAGAUAGACGUUCCACUUCAGGGUACUGUGUUUUUAUUGGAGGUAAUCUAAUAUCUUGGAAGAGUAAGAAACAAGAUGUAGUGGCCAGAUCUAGCGCUGAAGCCGAGUAUCGAGCUAUGGCUUUGGCAACAUGUGAACUCAUAUGGUUGAGACAUCUUCUUCAGGAGUUGAGAUUUGGAAAGGAUGAACAGAUGAAACUCAUCUGUGAUAACCAGGCCGCAUUACAUAUUGCAUCCAAUCCAGUCUUUCAUGAAAGGACCAAGCAUAUUGAAGUUGACUGUCAUUUCAUUAGAGAGAAGAUCGCAUCAGGAUGUGUUGCUACAAGUUUUGUCAAUUCAAAUGAUCAACUAGCAGACAUCUUUACUAAAUCUCUCAGAGGCCCUAGGAUUAAAUAUAUUUGUAACAAGCUUGGUGCAUAUGACGUAUAUGCUCCAGCUUGAGGGGGAGUGUUGAAUAUAAUGUAUUUAUAGUAUAUUAUCUUUCCUUGUUAAUAUAGGUCACAUGUAUGGUAGUUAAGACUCCUAGCCUUGUAUAUAUAUAUAUAUCUCAAUUGUAAGUAGACAUUACAUGAAUGAGAAUUAAGGUUUUUCUCCUUUCUCUCUCUCUCUUUCAACAAAAAAAAAAAAAAAAUAUAUAUAUAUAUAUAUAUAUAUAUAUAUAUAUAUAUAUAUAUAUUAAAACCAAGAAAAAUAAAUGAACUUGGAAAUCCCUCUUUUGAUAACAAGCUCAAUAACAUAUUCAUAUCAAAACCUAAGGCUGAAACUGACUUUUCCACAAGAGAAAAGCAAGGAGAGAGGGAAGGAAAAGGAAAUAAAGAACAGUAAUUGUUUUGCUCACCUGCAAGUAAAGCCUCAAUACUUUGAUAUUGUAUGGUUGAUGUUCCCAGAGAAACAUCUUCUCUGGGAUCCCCAUCUAGAUUUUUCAUCUCGAUUUUCUUGAUCCUCUCAAGCAAUACAAACUUAUCCGCUUCCCACACACAUUCAAGGGUGACAAAUUCUUCAUUUGUUGGAUAAUACUCCCUAAAAAACUGCACCAAUUAUCCAGAGAGAGAGAAAGAAGAACCUAAUUUUGAGUCAAAGGGUAACAGCAAAAAGAUAUUUACCAAAAGAAUUUGCCAAAUGUAUAGAGCUGCAAAACCAACCUCAAUUCCUGCUUGAGUCAAUUUUACAGACUGCUCCUUUUGGGAGAGAGAAGAAACCAUGUUGAAGACAGAAACAACAUCAAGUAGUGUCUGGAAAAAAAACAAAGAGCAAUCCUAAGUUUUGCCAUGGUGUCAACUAAAACAACGCACCAAGUAAUUCAGAUUGUCCUAUUAGGCACACUAAAUUAAGACACCAUACAGUCAUCCUUCCAACAAUGGCCUAUUCCUAAGAGUGAAUGGUAGUAAGCAAAUGCAAACAUUGGUGAAAAGAAAGCAUUUGUCCAAUGAGCUACAUCAAAGUCCCAAAUAACAAGGACAGACUUAUAUCUGUCCUUGCAACAUUUGACACCUUGAUUCCAAGUAAGAUUUUGCCACCAUCUCUUUGUCCAUCCAAUUUUUAGGGGGUGUUGCUGUGUCAUAUGCUUUGUAUCAAAACAAGGCACCCAGGCCCUCUUCAUACAACAUACAAUUUUCACCCUCUUGUUAUGUUGGCACUAGGAUGAGGCCAUCAGCUAGACCAUUGAGAUUGAUCACCUUAUUGCCAUAAACUAACAAGAUUCGAAAACCAAUUCAGAUUUUUUUUUUUUUUUUUUUUUGGCUAAGCAAAAACCAAUUUAGAAAUUUUAAUUCUUCCUCAAAAUGAAAGCAUACUUGCUGAACCAAAACUCGAAGGCGAGCAAGAAGAGCCAAGAUUGUUAGAGAGAAUCCCAUGAAAAAUGACCGAGCAAGCAAAGUAGAUAUCUCACUGUAGAAUAGUUAAGAAGAAAAAAUUAAUAAUUUAAUUUUCCCAAUUCAUCCCCACAUGAUCAAACCAAUAUUCUAAUACAAUGAUGAUGAGCAUGCAACCACUCAAAAUAGGAUGGUUUUAACAAGCCAAGACAGACUGAUAUUUGGCCAGUUUGCCUCAAGAUGGCAGAAGAAAUUGCAUCUAAAAAAAAGGUGCAAAACAUAAGAUAGAAAAAUCCAACUAUAUUUGAAGAGUGGAAAAGAUCAAAAGAGUGCCCUUUUCUUUUUCUUUUUCUACGAUCCUUGUAAGCAAAGGAAAAAAAAGGCACGCACACAAACAAACAAAGAGACAUGGUGGCCAACUGAUUAGGUCCAGAAAACCUAUCCCAGAAAGAUAUCUAAUUACUGGACUUGAAAAGGAAAUGGAAAUAAUUAAAACCUAGAGACCUGCAAAUAAUAUAGCGAAACAAGAAAUGGCAGAACAAAAAGAAAAUUUGAUGAACCAGAAAUUAAAUCUGGCAGAAAAGAGGAUCAUAGAAUUUUUUAGUGAUAAAAAACUAAAAAGACCCAGACCAUGCUAUAUGCCUUAAAAAAGAAAUAUAUAUGAUAAACCAAUAUUGCAUUACAAUUGUAUACCUUUAAACUAUACUUAAAGGCUUAUAUUUUGGAGAAAUACAGUUUCUGAUGAAGCUCAUAUUUUGGAGAAAUACAGUUUCUGAUGCAAACAAGUCUACUAAAACUACCAGGUAAGUAGAAAGACAGCUACACCGUUAUGAUGGGAAAUGAUUGGUAUAGCCCUUGUUUAGGAUGUGGUAAAAAAGAUGUGCUAAUUUAUAAGUCACUUCCACAACCAAUUCAAUCAAGUCAUUUUGAGAUCUAAGAAAACUAAUCAAAUGUCCAAAUUAGUUCUAUUAGUAUCACAAAAAGUCCCAUAACAAUAACAAAUUAACCAACUAAUGAAGGAUACAUAGCUGCCUUCAACAUCGGUUCCACCAUCUGCAACAGAAACAGAGAAAACAUUAGGAAGAGUAAGCACAACCUAAGGACUUAGUGGUUUCCUCACUACACAAUAUAUGGGAGAUUGUGUAAUCUAGCGUAUCUGAAGCUGCAUUGCAAGUAGCUGCCUCCUAGAUUUGACAUAAUAAAAAUACUGAUCUGAUAUAUGUAUCUGAUAUAUGGUAGCACUUGCACCAAUGUACCCUUUUCAAAACCACAGAAGUCAUAUUAGAAAAAUCUAACUUUUCCGAUCAAAGAGGCUUGUAUCAGAAGACAGAUUGUUGAAAUACCAAUUUGCAUGAUUAUACAAGGUGGCUAAAUGGUUGAACAGGAAAGACCAGCAAACACUGCACUUGCAUUUGGAUCAAGAAAAAGAAAGAAUCUAUUCAAAGACAUUCGGAUUCCAAUUGUAUUCAUUUAACAAUGUCAGCAAGGUUAAUCUUAGUUUAAAAUGCUAAAAAUAUCCCAAAGAAGUUAGGUAAGUUUGGAUUAGGGCAAGAAUGCACUACUGUGUCCCUUCUCCAAAAUUACAAAGCAUCUAACAUCAACAUUUUCCACUCCCAUGUGCCAAUUCUGGUGAAUAAUAGGGCUGUUUUUACUCCCCUUGGAAUUGAAAAUCCUGUAUUUACUAUCUUUGUAAUUUUUUUCUCCUUUUUUCUUAUGGAAUCUUUGUCCUUCUUAGUGUAUCCCUUUUAAAUUCAAAAGAAAUUUUCUUGUUUUCUAUUAAAAAUUUAUUGGCUGACAGUAAGCCAGAUUUCCUGGUGAGGUUGUACUGUGAUGAUAUCAUGUCAAUGUCACAACAAUAUGGCAUUUUUCUUCCUUUCCUCCCCCAUCUUCUUCAUUGAUACUCCCUCUACCAACACUUAGACCCUUGACUUUUCAGAUUAUUACACUUGUUCAGAGCUCAGAAAAAUGCAUGAAAAGCUGCUUUUGCAGUUCUUUCAGUGUGACCUGAAUAGUAAAAAAGGCUAAGUUGGGAUCAUGGCUGCUGAUGCCAUACUCAAGACAUAUCAUACAUAUGAGUGAGAACCCUAGGAGUACAAAUAUCUCUAAAUAAAAAAGUACACAUGGCAAACUGCAAUGGAGUAAUGCAUUAAGGAACUUAGUGAUAUCAUAGAAAAAGAAAAGUAUGUUAAUGACGAAUCAAGCUGACCUUUCCUUAACUGAGGGAGAUGUGACUGCUGAAGAAACAAUCAAAUGUGAAAAAGGAAGAAACAGGAUAUAAGAGGGAGGAAGAAAACAAAGAACAUACUUCAGAUAGUAAACGUGCAGCUCCCAGAAGCCGCUCCAUAAAAUUAUAUUUACCACCAUCGCCUUUUCUCUUCUUUAAACUGCAUAGAUAUAAAUAAAUAAAUAGAUAAGUGAAAAAACAAGCAAACAUGUGUGAGCAUAUGUAUGUACACUCAGAAACUUAUGAACAUCCUUUUGCUUCAAAGUACAUUAUUUAAAUCUCAACAUAGACAUUUACCCCUAUCAAAUAGUGAGUAAAUUAGAUGGGGAAAAAAUGAGGACAAACAUAGACUUCAGUUCAAAAGAGAACCAAACCAUCCCUCUGUAAAGCUACCACGUGAUGGUUUGAGAUAUUUGUGAUACUAUGCCAAAGCCCCAAUGUUAAAGGCAAUGUAGAAAUAGAUGGUCAAUCAAUUCUCCACUUCUCAUGCAUAAAAUGCACCAAUGAAGACUGAGAGACUUGUAGGAUCUGCUUAAUUGUAGGAUGUCAUUGGUGUUUACCUUUUUGUGUACCACUAACCUAGCAAAGGCCUUAACCUUUGAAGGGGCUUUUGAUUUUCAAACAAAUUUGGUCAAAAGGAACGGGAGUGGACUUGAGAAAUUGGACAAGGUCAAGAAAAAGAUUUUGUUGAGAAUAAACCUAAGAAUAUAAGUCUUUUAAGAUUUUUAAUUUCCAUGUCAAUGAAAUUGCGACGAAAGUUAAAAUUCUAAGAAAUUGGAGAGGAAUUAUCAAGGACAACUAAGAUGGUGAUAUUUUUUUUUUUUGAUAAAUAUCACGAAUAUAUUAAAGGGCAAAGGCCACCAAGCAUACAGGACGUAUACAAAUCUGCCUCAAAACGAGAGCACAAAAAAACACGCACCCUUACCCUCCCUUAAGUGGCCGCUAGCCACUCCAAAAAACCUAAGAGUGAAGAGGACUCCUCUCCAAUAUACACCCUAGCCCAACUCCACAAGGUACAAACAAAAUAAUUUUUGAGUUUCUGUAUAUUUAACACCCCUCCCUUUAAAGCUAACCUAUUCCUUUCCUUCCAUACCGUCCAAAAAAUACACAACGGGAUAGAAUUCCAAUUUUUUUUCCUCUUUUUCCCCACAAAGGGGCCCCUCCAACUGAAUAACGCCUCCUUCACCAACUCUGGGAACACCCACUGAACCCCCACAAGGGCAAAAAUAAUUUCCCAUAAGGCCCUUACCACUAUACAAUGUAAAAGAAUGUGAUUUACAUUCUCCUCUUCACAACCACACAAAAAACAUCGGUUAGGAAACUGCCAGCCCCAUUUUUGAAGCCUAUCCAGGGUGAGAAUCUUCCCCCACGCGGCUUCCCAAGCAAAAAAAGCCGCUUUGGUUGGGACCUUGUGGUGAUAUUUUUCAAUGUGACAACUCUAUAGAGACCUGAAAAUUGUGAACACAAAUGGUUAUCACCCCACCACAAAUCUUCUCAGAAUUGAAUUCUCUCCCCGUUACCCACCACAACGCAAGAAUAUGAGGAAAAUUCCUGGCAGACUUGUGCAAUAGCCUUCUAAGGACAUCCUGUGACCAUCUAACCAGAAUGUUGGAGUCUCAUCCAUUAGGAUGUGUCCUAUAAAUGCUUGAAAUAACUUGAUGUCAUAGGCCACAAUUUUCCUUAGGGAACCUGUAUAGCAACUUCCCUAAAUGAGCACGAUUUCUCAAGGAAGUCUUCUCAAUUCCCAGAACUCCAAACUCCUUUGGCCUACACACUAUGUACCAACUAAUAAUAAUCUUUUUUACCCUCCCCAAUCUUUGACCAAAGAAAAUCUCUUUACAUUUUCUUGAUCUUUAAUCCAUUUGAUUUUUCAAAGCAUGAAUUCCAAACCAAAUGAACAUAGGAGUAUUUACUUGGAUGAGUUUUCAUAUAUGUACAAUAUUCUUCUCUAAAUUGAUUCUUUUUUACUUCUGGAAAUGCAGAGAAAAACCAUUUUCUUUUUUCUUUGUUAUUUUCUAAUCAAAAUUCAAAUAUAAUGUAUUCUUUAUCAAUUGUAAAUUUUCUUAAUGUUAUAAAUGAUUUUUUUUUUUGUUUUGGAGCAUCAUGUUGAAUUUGAGACUAAGUUGGAGAUAAUCUUGGGCACUGAUUUUCCUAACAAAACGGUCUUGGAAUAUCAUGUUGAAAGUUUACUCCUCAUAGUUCUUGGUUUCUAGUUCUAGCCAAGGUAUAACUAAAAGAAGAUCUUGAGGAAGAAGUUCUUGAUUUAUAUUAUUGACUCCUAGAUAUUAGAGAAGUGCAUUCAAUGGUUACUAAUCCUUCUUUGUCUUCAAGUUGUUUUCAAUUUUAAGAGUGAUUAAAUUUUUGAAGUCCCAUUUUAAUGAGGUUGCCAACUGUUCUAAUGGUUACCACAUAGGAACCAUUGUUGAUUCAUGUUCAUCGUUUGCUUGGAAUAUCAAAGUUUCUCUUUAAGGGAAGAAACCAAACAUUUAGGAUAGAGAGAGGUUGUCAUAGCUUUCUAAUAUAUUGAUUUGUCAAAAAGUAGAUUCACUCUAACUCACCAAGAACUAUUCAAGAUAAGAUCUGUUGAUUUGCCAAAAAGCAAAUUCCCUUUAACUCGUUAAAGAGUUGUUCAAAAUAAGAUCUGUCGAAAGCACAUUCUCUUUAGCUUGAUGAAUUUCAACACAAGCUUAAAACAUUUUGAAGUUUGUUACUCUGAUUAUUAAAAGACCCUCUGCAAGGAAACCAUUGACAAAAAAAAUUAAAAAACCUCUUUGAAAUCAAACCUUAUUAUCUCUUCUCCCCUUAUAUAUAUAUAUAUAGAUUUCUUUCGUUGUAUACCUUUCAUAUUCCAUACUUCUCAACUGAUUUGUAAACUCUGUAAUCAAGAUCUUUGUAAGUCAAGUUUUUUUCAAAUAUUUUGUUUUUUUCAAGUAUUUGUUCCUAUUAUUAUUUUACUCUUUUUGUUUUUAUUAUGGUUUUACUAUUUUUACCUUGUUCAAUUUUACUCUAUUGUUUAAUUAUAAAGAUCCUGAGUAAAUGGUAUCAGAGCCAUAAGUUUUAUUUAGUUUAAAUUAAGUUGAAACUUUAAUUAAAUUAAACUAAGGAAUAGUGUUGAUUAGCCCAUCAAGCCAAGAUAUAAGGGGUGAUCGCAAAGAUAGUCUUACUAGACUUUGGAAUUAGUGAAACAAAGGUAUAACAAGCUUUAAAAUAAAUGAGUACUCUAUUGAGAAGGCUCGCACAUAAUAAGGGUACUAAUAGUUUCUCUAAAAUCGAUAAAAAUAUUAGCUCUCUAAAAACUUCUUCAAGACUAGAUAAUCCCAUGUAUCAACAAGGUAGCGCUUAUUUUAAGGGGCUACUUAUGGAUGCUAAAAGUAACAUUUGAAGGUCAAAUGCAACUUCUAGGAGUGUUUGGG